Molecule: long non-coding RNA, 59096 nt
Filed under: Lathyrus oleraceus (garden pea)
Lineage: Eukaryota; Viridiplantae; Streptophyta; Magnoliopsida; Fabales; Fabaceae
Description: Pisum sativum (pea) long non-coding RNA (PSAT_LNC009107)
Source: RNAcentral
AUCAACAUUACCUGCCCAGUUUGCAUCACAAUACCCUACAAGCAUACAAUUAGAACUAUGAGAAUACAACAUGCCAUACUCACUAGUACCGUUAAUGUUUUUCAAGAUCCUCUUCACUUAAAUAAUAUGACGGAUUUUAGGCUCUGUCUGAUAUCUAGCAUAUACUCAUACAACAAAAGUGAUGUCUGGUCUGCUAGUUGUAAUAUAUAAAAGACUAUGAAUCAUACUCUUGUACAAACUUUGAUCCACAUCAACACCUUUUUCAUCCUUAGUUAAUUUCAAGUGAGUUGUUGCAGGUGUCUUUUUGUGACUAGCACUUUCUAAGCCAAACUUUUUCACUAUAUUCUUAGCAUAUUUUCUUUGAGAAAUGAAGAUAGUAUCAUCCAUUUAUUUAACUUGAAGACCAAGAAAAUAGGUUAAUUCACCAACAAGACACAUCUGAAAUUUAGAUUGCAGUUGCUUAACAAAAUGUUGAACCAUCUGGUUCGACAUCCCUCCAAACACAAUGUCAUCAACAUAUAUUUAGGCUAUCAUGAGUUUACCAUGCUCUUCUUUAAUAAACAAGGUCUUGUCUGUUCCCCCUUUCCUGUAGCCAUUGUUGACAAGUAACUCAAUUAACCUUUCAUACCAAGCCCUAAGUGCUUGCUUUAAACCAUAUAUAGCUUUAUUUAGUUUGAAAACAUCAUUUGGAAAGCUAUGAUCUAUGAACCCCUUGGGUUGUUCUGAAGGAGAAUUGCGAUCCAAAACGUAGCGGAAAUUAUUCUCCUUUAGAGAUCCUUACGAAUGGUCAUGAUCAGUGAUAGAAUAUUUACCUCUUGUGACGAUUGAAACCUUUGGUGCAGAUCUCUUAUGACGAUCAAAACCUUUGAUGCAGAUCCACGGAGCGAUCACGAACGUUGAACGAUGACAACGUCUCUACUCAGUCUACACGAACGGAUUCCUUCAAUCUCAGUGCUAGCUGGUACGAAUGAAGGCUUUGAGUGAGAGAGAGAGAGAGAGAAAACGAAAAUAAUGCAACCGCAAUGAAUGCUUCUACACAAGGGUUCUAUUUAUAGAACCACUUGUGUGGGCUUCAAGCUAAAAAGCCCACUUAAGUGUAUUUUGGCCCAUAUCUUAUAAUAUGCCCAAAAUCACUUAAGCCCAUGGUACCUUACCAUAUUUCGUAUUCUACUCAAGUACACCGUACCUUACGAUGUUCUAUAAUUCACUUAAGGGCACCGUACCUUACGGUAUUCCUUAGUUACUCUAUCUCUCAUCAAUCCGUCCUUUGUGUGUGACCCUGUAGGUUUUCGCGACGUUGGCAAUUAUAUUAAAUCACGCAUUUAACAUAAUAAACAGUGAGCGGUAUCUAGCAACACAUCACUGCUACCCAAGACACGAAAAUGUCAUGUGAUCUGACAAUUCCUUCUGUGAUAAUACUUAUGUGUAUAAUUACCCUUUUGCCCUUAUGUCUAUAUUGAACACAAGGCAUAGACCGUGUCAUCCUUGUCCAGUUCAAUAUUGGGCCCAUAGACAUUUAUCCUGUUAUGCAGGAUGGGCAAAUUCCAUCUAGGUCACUCAUGUCCCUCAGCAUGCUUCGUGGAGUACCCAUCAACUGUCUUUAUGGUUAUCCAGUUACGGACAACGUUGGAUCAGCAAUAAAGCACUCGACUCUACAUCUAGGGUCCAUAGUGGUUUCAGGUCGAAGAGUGGUAUACACCAUUAUCACCAUGAGAAUAACUUAUGACACUUUGCAUAACUUUCUAUAUAGUAUUCUCAUAGCGGGUCAAUCCGGUAUAAAUAUUACUCUUAAUAUUCAUACCUAUGUUUAAGACUUGAUAACUCCUUAUCCAUGAUCCAUGAGAUGUGAUCAUCAGUCUACAAACAUAAUAGUCUUAAUGCUUUAAUGUUAUCCCACUUCACAAUAAAGCUCGACUACGGAUACUUUAAGAAUAGUGUCCUUAUGUUUAAUGUGAUCUCAUGAUUAAGUCAUACUUGAUACAUUAAACAGACUAGCUAUUCUAGGGACUUUAUUAAACAAACAUAAUAAAGAAAAAACCUUUUAUUAUUAAUAAAUAAUUCGAUACAAGUACCAAAAGUAUUGGCCUCUAGGGCUUACACCAACAAUCUCCCACUAGCACUAGAUCCAAUCAUGCAUACCCCUAAUGCCCAUAGAUCUAGUAUGGCCAUCAUGCUUCUGCCGCGCAAGAGGCUUUGUCAGUGGGUCAACAAUAUUUUCAAGUGUAGGUUAUCUGCAUAUUUUCACAUCUCCUCUAUCUAUCAUCUCUCGAAUGAGGUGAUAACGCCUAAGUAUGUGUUUGGAUCGUUGGUGAGAUCUAGGCUCCUUGGCUUGUGCGAUAGCACCAUUGUUAUCACAGUAGAGACCAAUGGGAUCUACAAUGCUAGGAACUAUGCCAAGUUCACUAAUGAACUUUUUGAUCCAAACAGCUUCCUUUGCUGCACUUGAGGCAGCAAUAUACUCGGCCUUGGUUGUAGAAUCAACAAUUGUAUCUUGCUUUGAACUUUUCCAGCUCACAGCGCCACCAUUUAAGCAAAACACAUAACCAGAUUGCGAUCUAAAGUCAUCCUUAUCUGUCUGGAAGCUAGCAUCGGUGUAUCCAAUUACAGCCAACUCUUCCUGACCUCCAUAUAUCAAGAAUGAGUCCUUAGUCCUUCUUAAAUACUUAAGGAUAUUCUUGACAGCUACCCAGUGAGCAUCACCAGGAUCAGAUUGGUACCUACUCGUUGCACUUAAAGCAUACGAGACAUCUGGUCGAGUACAUAACAUGGCAUACAUGAUAGAUCCUAUUGCAGAUGCAUAUGGAAUCUUAUUCAUGCGAUCCCUUUCUUCCUUAGUUAAAGGGGAUUGUGUUUUUGAUAGACACAGGCCAUGUUGCAUAGGUAUGAAUCCUUUCUUGGAAUCAUGCAUAUUAAAGCGUCUCAACACUUUGUCUAUGUAUGUACUCUGACUUAGGCCAAGCAGUUUUUGUGAUCUAUCUCUAUAGAUUCUGAUUCCUAAUAUAUAGGCUGCUUCACCUAGGUCCUUCAUAGAAAAGCAUUUCCCCAACCAAGACUUUACUUGUUGUAGGGUAGGGACAUCGUUUCCAAUGAGUAAUAUGUCAUCUACAUAUAAUACCAGGAAAACGAUCAUGCUCCCACUAACCUUCUUGUAGACACAAGGCUCAUCUUCGUUCUUGAUGAAUCCAUAUUGUUUUACUGUUUCAUCAAAACGAAGAUUCCAGCUUCUGGAAGCUUGCUUCAAUCCAUAGAUUGAUCUUUGUAACUUACAUAUCUUUUGGGCUUCCUCUGGUAUGUCAAAUCCUUCAGGCUGUGUCAUGUACACAUCCUCAAGAAGAUUUCCAUUAAGGAAAGCAGUUUUGACAUCCAUCUGCCAUAUUUCAUAAUCAUGAUAUGCAGCGAUAGCAAGUAAAAUCCGAACAGAUUUAAGCAUUGCAACUGGUGAAAAGGUUUCAUCAUAGUCAACCCCAUGAAUUUGUUUAUAUCCUUUUGCAACCAGUCUUGCCUUAUAGGUAUGUACCUUACCAUCCAUGUCAGUCUUCUUUUUGAAGACCCACUUGCAUCCUAUAGGGUUAACUCCUACAGGAGGCUCUACCAAGGUCCAAACUUGGUUUGUGUACAUGGAAUCCAUUUCAGAUUUCAUGGCUUCUAGCCACUUCUCAGACUCGGGACCAGUUAUGGCCUCUUGGUAGGUCACAGGCUCAUCUUGAUCCAUGAGUAAUACAUCACCUUGAUCAGUUAUGAGAUAUCCAUAUCUCUCAGGUAGGUGACGUAUCCUGCUUGACCUACGCUGGUCUUGUUCUACUUGAGCAGGUUGCUCUUCCACAACUUCUUGUGUUUCCUGCUCUAAUUCCUCCAUAGGUGUAUCUAUGCUUUGUGAUUCUUGAAUUUCUUCAAGCUCUACUUUCCUCCCACUGGUUCCUUUGGAAAUAAAAUCCUUUUCUAGGAAAACUCCAGUUCGAGCGACAAACACUUUGCCCUCAGAAGGAUUGUAGAAGUAAUACCCUCUUGUUUCUUUAGGAUACCCCACAAAUAAGCAUUUGUCAGAUUUGGGCUCAAGCUUAGUUGAAAUUUGUCGUUUCACAUAAACUUCGCAACCCCAAAUCUUCAUGUAAGACAUAUGUGGUUUCUUACCACUCCAUAUCUCAUAUGGUGUCUUCUCAACCUUUUUGGAUGGAACACGGUUAAGUGUGUAAGCUGCUGUCAAUAGUGCAUGUCCCCAAAAGGAGUUUGGAAGAUCGGCGUGACUCAUCAUGGAUCGGACCAUGUCUAACAGGGUUCGAUUUCUUCUCUCAGAUACACCAUUCCAUUGGGGUGUUCCAGGAGGAGUAAGUUGGGAUAGGAUCCCACACUCUUUCAGAUGGUCAUCAAACUCUAGGCUUAAAUACUCACCACCUCGAUCUGAUCGAAGAGUUUUAAUAUUCUUACCUAGUUGGUUUUGUACUUCAUUCUUGAAUUCCUUGAACUUUUCAAAGGACUCUGAUUUGUGUUUCAUUAAAUACACAUAACCAUAUCUACUGAAAUCAUCAGUGAAUGUGAUGAAGUACUGAAAACCUCCUCUGGCUGGUAUGUUCAGUGGUCCACAUACAUCAGUAUGUAUGAGGGCCAAAAGAUCAUUAGCUCUUUCACCUUUUCCUGUGAAUGGAGACUUUGUCAUCUUUCCAAUUAAACAAGAUCUGCAUGUCUCAUAUGAUUCAUAAUCAAAAGAGUCCAAGAGUCCAUCUUUAUGGAGUUUGGAAAUGCGUUUCUCAUUUAUGUGGCCUAAUCGACAAUGCCAAAGGUAAGUUGGAUUUAACUCAUUAGGUUUCAUCCUUUUAGUAUUAAUGUUAUAAAUAGGCAUUUCAAGAUCAAGGACAUAUAGUCCAUUGUUCAUUUGUGCAGUAGCAUAGAAUAUAUCAUUCAAAUAAAUUGAGCAACAAUUGUUCUUUAUUAUAAAUGAAAAACCAAACUUGUCCAAACAAGAAAUGGAAAUAAUAUUCUUGCUAAUUGCAGGUACAUAAUAACAGUUCUCUAACUGAAUUAUUAAACCACUAGGUAAAGUCAAUACAUAUAUUCCUACGGCUAAAGCAGUAACCUUUGCUCCAUUGCCAACUCGUAGGUCAACUUCACCUUUUGCCAAAUCUCUACUUCUUUUUAGCCCCUGCACAUUUGUACAAAUGUGAGAACCACAUCCAGUAUCUAAUACCUAUGAUGCAGAAGUAGAUAAAUUUAUUUCAAUAACAAAAAUACCUGAAGUUGAAGUCUCUACUCCAUUCUUCGUAUCUUCCAGGUACUUUGGGCAGUUUCUCUUCCAGUGUCCGGUUGGAAGCAGGUUCCUGCCUUUGCUAUGCCUCCACUAGGCUUCAAAGCAGCAACAGUGGGUCUGGGUUUGGCAACUUCCUUGCGUUUCCCUUUAUCACACUGCUUGAUGGGCCUUUUGUUCUGUCUCUUUCCAUUUCCGAUCAUCAGAAUGGACUUCCCUUUUGACUUCAGGUUCUGCUCAGCAGUUCUUAACAUGCCUAGCAGUUCAGGAAGCGAUUUGUCCAUGUCAUUCAUAUUGAAAUUUAGGACAAAUUGACUGAAUCUAUCUGGCAACGAUUGCAAGAUCAAAUCAGUCACAAGUUCCUUUCCGAGGGGAAAACCUAACCUUUCAAGGUUUUCCACAUACCCAAUCAUCUUGAGUACAUGGGGACUUACAGGAGCUCCCUCAGCUAACUUGCUUUGAAAAGGGGCUUUUGAAACUUCAAACCUUUCAUUCCUUGCUUGCUCUUGAUAGAGCGUCUUCAGGUGUUCGAUCAUAUCGAAUGCUUCCAUGUUCUCAUGUUGCUUUUGAAACUCUGAGUUCAUGGUAGCUAGCAUGAGACAAGCAGUUUCAUUGGCAUCAUCGACAUGCUUCUUAUAAGCAUCUCUUUCUGCCUUAGGUGCAGAACUAGGAGGUUCCUCUUCAGGAACAGGUUUCUCCAAGACAUACAACUUUCUAUCAUGUUUGAGGAUAAUCCUCAGAUUUCGGUGCCAAUCCAGAAAAUUUGUCCCAGACAAUUUUUCCUUGUCAAGGAUUGAUCGCAAGAUGUUGUUAGAGGUGUUUGCUGUCAUGGUUAUCUACAUAAGGAUUAAGAAAAUAUAAGUAUCAUUGACAUAUUUAAUUAGGCCUUUAUUCAAAUAUGCUCCCACUAUUUUACUCAAAACAAAUGACCCUCAUCAUUUGAUUCGGAAAAUCCCGUUGGAAGAUUUUCUAGUGGGUCGAGAUCCAUAUUUCACUUCGUUCUAAGUCCGCGUAGGCGGAUUACACAAAACUAGGUUAUUUAGGUAGGAACUCCUUCCAAUUGUAUCUAAUACAACUCUCGAAAAUUUCAGUUGGGUGAAUAACUCCUUAUUCCAAUCCAUCAUAUGGAUCAUUUCCAACUCUUGCUUCUAAACGUAUAUAAUCUUAUUAUAGUUUGUUUAGUUAAGUUUGGCCCAUUGUUUUAGCAGUUGAAUAUUACAAUUAUCCCAUCGCACCUUACUAAUAUAAAACAUGCACCUCGCGUAGGCGAAACCUACAUUAUCCGAUACUAGUCUUGAUGAGUGCUAAAACUUGGAAAGCAUAAACUUAAUAUUUUAAUUUGAGGGAAUUGCAAUUAUUCUGAUCUCACCUGCUUAUUUAUCAUAUAAAUCGUCUCUCACAUGCAAAAACAUACAUUCACAGGCAUCAACAUACAUACACAUGCAUCAACAUACAUAAUGAAACAGUUAUGGGCCCUAGCGCAAUUGUUCUCCCAAGCCAAUGAGAGAACCUAAGCUAACCUAAUAACGAUCUAAGCUUCUCCAAGCAAAACAUAAUGAAACAGUUAUGGGCCCUAGCGCAAUUGUUCUCCCAAGCCAAUGAGAGAACCUAAGCUAACCUAAUAACGAUCUAAGCUUCUCCAAGCAAGAUCUUCAAGGUUGUCCUCCUUUGAUAUUGAAUACUUCUCUUUCUUCAUAACAUUGUCCUCCUUUGAUAUUGAAUUCUUCUCUUUCUUCAUAACAUUACAUUACAGAAGAACUCGUUUUACAUACGAGAGAUUGAGAUGAGAAAAGAAGUUACAUUAAGAGAUUAAAAGGAGAGGCACAACACGCAAGUCGUAUUUUAAAACCCAAAACAAGAUAAAGGAUAACUAAGGCCAUAACUGAUCACCACAAGGCAAUAAUAAUAAACACAUUAUUAUUAUUAAUUUUAAUUCCUUUAAUUACUUAAAACCAAAUCAAAUUUCGACGACCGAUCACACUACGCAGAGUUAGCCGGGGGUCCGCUGCCCGGUCAGCGGCCGAAAAUUUUAAUGAACAAUUCAUUUGAAAUCGGCGUCCUUUUGCAUCGACACAACUCUUACGCAGUCACAAAACAGAAACCCCGAGAACUCUGACUCUGUGAGUGUGACGACCGUCACAAGCAUGUUACGACCGUCACAGGCCCAUGACGAACGUCACGCAGCCAAAAACAGAAACGCCUAGAAUUCUGGAUCUGUGAAUGUGACGACCGUCACAAAGCACGUGACGUCCGUCACGUCCAGCUUGUUACGAUCGUCACAAGUCCAUGACGAUCGUCACGCGGCCAAAAACCACCGCUUUGAAACAGUCAACAGAUGUGUUCCAACAAGCCCUUAAUUCACAACUUCUUGACGACACAACCCUUGCGCCGUCACUAACCCUAAUGCACCAAUUUCAGACCGUCAAACACACCUCGAUUGUUGAUUCAGUAUGAUUGAUCAACAGGUCAUUGCUUCACCAUACUAAUGUCGGAUACUAAUGUCGGAUUCCGAAGCAAAUGACCAUUGAUCGCUCAAAGGAAAACAACCAUUUAGUGUUUGAAUGAACGAAACAGAAACAGUAUAUCAUAUAUAUCAUAUUUUGCAUUAGGAUUACUUAUAUCGUAUAUAAGUUGAUCGGUCUCAAUUGCGUAACCUAUGGACAAUCGGUGUAUCGCUGCUUCACCAUACUAAUGUCAGUUCCGAAGCAUAGUCAACAUCAAUCAUCCAACUCGUACACUCAUGAUGCCAAAUUUAAUUACCCGUUUAAUUAAUUGAUUCAUUCUGUCUUUUAGUCAUAUUAAUAUAGAAAAUAAACAACUAUCUGAUUCAUGGUUUCGUAAGUGGCUCUGAUACCACUGAAGGAGAAUUGCGAUCCAAAACGCAGCGAAAAUUAAAAUUUUCUCCUUUAGAGAUCCUUAUGAAUGGUCAUGAUCAGUGAUAGAAUAUUUACCUCUUGUGACGAUUGAAACCUUUGGUGCAGAUCUCUUGUGACGAUCAAAACCUUUGAUGCAGAUCACGGAGCGAUUACGAACUGAACGAUGAAACCGUCUCAAUACUCCGCCACGAACUGGAUCAUCUAAUCUCAGUGCUCAGCUGUACGGAAUGCAAGGCUUUGAGUGGUGAAGAGCAAGAGAGAGAGAGAGAGAGAGAAAACGAAAAUAAUGCAACCGCAAUAGAUGCUUCUGCACCAAGUUCUAUUUAUAGAACCAUGGUGGGUGUCAGCUAAGAAGUCCACUUAAAGUAUUUUGGGCCCAUUACUUAAUGAGAUACCCAAAUCACUAUAAGCCCAUGGUCUCUACCUAUUUCGUAUUCUACUCAAGUACACCGUACCUUACGAUGUUCUACAACUCACUUAAGUGCACCGUACCUUACGGUGUUCCUUAGUUACUCUAUCUCUCAUCAAUCCGUCCUUUGUGUGUGACCCUUUAGGUUUUCGUGACAUUGGUAAUUAUAUUAAAUCAUGUAUUUAACAUAAUAAACAAUGAGCGGUAUCUAGCAACACAUCACUGUUACCCAAGACACGAAAAUGUCAUGUGAUCUGACAAUUCCUUCCGUGAUAAUACUUAUGUGUAUAAUUACCCUUUUGCCCUUAUGUCUAUAUUAAACACAAGGCAUAGAUCGUGUCAUCCUUGUCCAGUUCAAUAUUGGGCCCAUAGACAUUUCUCCUGUUACGCAGGAUGGGCAAAUUCCAUCUAGGUCACUCAUGUCCCUCAGCAUGCUUCGUGGAGUACCCAUCAACCGUCUUUAUGGUUAUCCAGUUACGGACAAUGUUUGAUCAGUAAUAAAGCACUCGACUCUACAUCCAGGGUCCAUAGUGGUUUCAGGUCGAAGAGUGGUAUACACCAUUAUCACCAUGAGAAUAACUUAUGACACUUUGCAUAACAUUCUAUAAGUAUUCUCAUAGCGGGUCAAUCCGGUAAUAAUAUUACUUCUAUAAUUCAUACAUAUGUUAGACUUGAUAACUCCUUAUCCAUGAUCAUGAGAUGUUGAUCAUCAGUCUAUAUACAUAAUAGUCUAAUGCUUAAUGUUAUCCCACUUCACAAUAAAGCUUGACUAUGGAUAUUUUAAGAAUAAUGUCUUAUGUUUAUGUAUCUCAUGAUUAAGUCAUACUUGAUACAUAAACAGACUAGCUAUUCUAGGGACUUUAUUAAACAAACAUAAUAAAGAAAAAGCCUUUUAUUAUUAAUAAAUAAUUCGAUACAAGUACCAAAAGUAUUGGCCUCUAGGGCUUACACCAACAUGUUCAACAUAUAAUUCUUCAUUUAAGUACCCAUUCAAGAAGGCAUUUUUCACAUCCAUCUGGAAUAACUUGAAUUUUAGCAUACAUGCCAUUCCCAAGAGCAAUCUUAUAGAUUCAAGACGAGCAACAGAUGCAAAAGUCUCAUCAAAAUCAACCCCUUCAAUUUGAGUGUAUCCUUGAGCAACAAGCCUAGCCUUGUUUCUGGUCAUAAUUCCAUUUUCAUCAGAUUUGUUCUUGUAAAUCCAUUUUGUGCCAAUAACAUUCAUCCAUUCAGGCCAAGGAACUAGGUCCCAUACUUUAUCCCUUUUGAAUUGUCCUAAUUCUUCUUGCAUAUCAUUGAUCUGUAAUUUAAUAAUCAAGGCCUCCUUCACAUUUUUAGGUUUAAACUCUGAGACAAAGCAAACAUUGGAUAUCACAUCUCUAGAUCCAAUGGUGAUCCCUUCAUUAAGAUUUCCAAUGAUAAGUUCCUUUGGAUGAUCUUUCUGAAUUCUAAUAGAGGGACCUUUAUUGGCUUGAGGGUUAUCUAAUUCAGUCCUUGCUGGCUCAAUGUUGGACUCAAUGUCUUCCAUAUUUUUUGAAGCAUCAGUCUGCUGAGAUGAUGUUCCAACAUCUUCAUCGACAUCAGUCCCUUUCAUAAUAAUUGAAUCAUCAACCACAACAUUAAUGGAUUCCAUCACAACCUUGGUUCUGGAUUUAAAUACCUUGUAAGCUCUAUUAUUUGUAUAGUAACCAAGAAAUAUCCCUUCAUUACUUUUGGGAUCCAUCUUUCUCCUCUGUUCAUGAACAACCAGAAUGUAGCAUUUACUCCUAAGCACAUGAAAAUGUUUAACAAUAGGUUUCCUUCCUUUCCAUAAUUCAUAGAGAGUACAUGAUAUACCAUCUCUCAUAGUAACACGAUUGUGGAUAUAGCAAGCAGUGUUAAUUGCUUCAGCCCAAAAAUGAUAAGGAAGAUUUUUUGGAUGAAGCAUGACUCUAGCCGAUUCUUGUAAUGUUCUGUUCUUAUGUUUUAUAACUCCAUUUUGCUGAGGAGUGAUGGGAGAUGAUAACUCAUGACCAAUACCUUCAGAAGAAAAAAAUUCAUAGAAUUUUUCAUUUUCAAAUUCCUUCCCAUUGUCACUCCUGAUUCUAACAAUCACACUUUCCUUUUCUCUUUGAAGACGUUAACAAAGGCCUUUGAAUACCUCAAAAGUGUCUGAUUUUUCUUUGAUACAAUUCACCCAAGUAAACCUUGAAAAAUCAUCAACAACCACAUAUACAUUCCUCUUUCCACAAAUACUUUCAACUUGCAUAUGCCCCAUUAAGUCCAUAUGAAGAAGUUAUAGAGCUCUGGAAGUAGUCUGAUGUUGCAACUUCGGGUGUGACAUCUUGGUUUGCUUCCCAAUUUGACACUCACCACAAACUUUACCCUCCUUAAUUUUUAGUUUUGGUAGACCUCUAAUAUCUUCUUCAGACAUAAUCUUCUUCAUACCUUUGAGAUUCAUAUGUCCAAGCUUCUGGUGCCACAACCUGACUUCAUCUUCCCUAAACAUCAAACAUGUGGAAGAAUAAGUAGUUUCUUGUGGUACCCAUAAAUAGAAGUUGUCUUUAGACAUAACCCCCUCAUCAGAACUUCAUUCUUCUCAUUGGCAACCAAACAUUCUGACUUGGUAAAAUUGAACUUUAGACCUUGAUCACAUAACUGACUAAUGCUGAUCAGAUUAGAAGUCAAUCCUUUUAUAAGAAGAACAUCAUAAAGUCUAGGAAGUCCAGUAUACAGUAACUUUCCUAUCCCUUUAAUUUCACCUUUACCUUCAUCACCAAAAGUGACAAAACUGGUGGAAUAAGACUUAAUAUCCACUAAAUACUUCUUGACACCUAUCAUAUGUCUAGAAUAUCCACUGUCAAAGUACCAGUCUUCUCUAGGUUAAGCUCGAAAAGUAGAAUGGGCUAUAACACAAGUAUCAACAACCAUAUGUUUCCAUUCAUUUCUAGUUUUAAUCAUCACAUGAUCACCCCUAGGAUAUGUUGGAUGUUUUGGAUAACCAUACAGUCUAUAACAUAAAGGCUUUAUAUGUCCAUAUUUACCACAGUAAUGAUAUUCCAAGGCAAAAACUUGACUUUAGUUUGGGUUUCCUGAUGUCUCAUAGGAUGUUGUAACAUUUGGUCGAACAUCAUGGGUUUUUUACUUUCAGAGAUUGGUAAUCAAAACCUAUACCUUUUAAGUUUCCAGCCCCUUUUCCAACUUGAAGAAUUUCAUCUAACAUAUCAGAUCCAUUGUUCAACAUUCUUACUGAUUUGGUCAUGUUUUCAAGUUUAGAAUUCAAAAGGGUUACCUUAUUUUCAAGAUCAGUGAAAGUAUAUGAAAGUUUAUCUUUUUCAGCCUGUAGUUGAGUUAUGAUUCUCUUCUACUUUUCUCCUAUCUUCCAAACCUCUUCGAUUCUGACAGAAGGCUCUUUGUAGGAAGCAUACAAUUCUUCAUAAGAGACAUCCUUAUCACAUAAAUCUUAAUCAUAUUCAUAUAUACCAGUGAAAGUUGUAACAUGCUUAGAAGUUUCAUCAUCAGUUUCACCUUCAGAAUCAUUAGACCAAGAAACAGACAAACCCUUCUUUUAUUUCUUGAGAUACAUGGGACAUUCUGAUCUAAUGUGACCAAAACCCUCACAUUCAUGACACAAAAUACCUUUUCCUUAAUUGGGAUUUUCCUAUGUUCUUGCUUUUCUCUGAGAAUCGUUGUUCUUACUGAUGUCGAAUGACAUGUUCUUGACAUAAAUAUUAACUUCCUAUCUAUUUUCUUCAACACCUUAUUGAAUUUCCUCCCAAGAAGCAGAACGUCAUUGGAAAUUCCUUCAUCAAUAUCCAAGUCACAUUGAUCCUCUUCAUCCUCAGUGUUGGAGAUAAAAGUUAUGCUCUUGUUCUUCUUUUCAGAUCUAUCAUUGAUAGCCAAUUUAAAAGUUUGAAGUGACCCAAUAAGCUCAUCCACUUUCAUGUUGCAAAUGUCUUGUGUUUCUUAAAUAGAUUUGACCUUCACGUCAAACAUCUUAGACAAAGACCUGAAGAUUUUUCUAACAAGUUUAUCCUCUGACAUCUUCUCUCCCAAGGCACUAGAUGAAUUGGCAAUAUCAAGAAUAUUCAUGUGAAAAUCAUGAAUACACUCAUCAUCUUUCAUCCUGCGAUUCUCAAAUUUGGUGGUGAGAAGUUGAAGUUUUGAGAUUUUUACUUUUAAUGUGCCUUCAUGAGUGGUUCUGAGGAUUUCCCAUGCAUUUUUUCCAUAGUACAAGUAUUUAUUAACCUGAAUAUAUUUUUUUCAACUCCAUUGAAUAAGGCAUUCAAGGCGAUGAAGUUUCCAAGAGCAAGUUCAUCUUUGUCCUUAGACCAGUCCUCUUCAGGCUUCAAAUUAGUUGUAUCAUUCCCAUCUUUGUCUUGCACCACAUGAUGUUCUCAACCUUUGAUAAUUGCUUUCCCGGUUAUGUUAUCCAUAAAUUUUAGAAAUGCCAUCAUAUGUGCCUUCCAGUAAUCAUAGUUGAUACCAUCCAGAAUAGGUGGUAUGUUGAUAAAUCCUCCUUCCUUGUCCAUAGUACUAGAAAUUAUCUCCCUAGAGCUCACCCAAAAUAGAACAGGGUGCCUGCUCUGAUGCCAAUUGAAAUUCGGGUACACAGAUAACAGAUGUCGUAUACAAUGUCACAACACUAGGAUUAAGACAUGUCACACCAGAAACAAGUAUGCAAAUAAUAGAUGUCGUAUACGAUGUCACCACACCAGGAUUAUGACAUGUCACACCAGAAACAAUUAUAGUGUUAAAGUAAAUACCAGGAAGUAAAUAACACAAAUCAAUUGUUAACCUAGUUUGGUGCAACAUCACCUACAUCUGGGGGCAUCCAAGCCAGUAAGUAAACCCACUAUAAUAGUAUUAGUUUGAAGUUCUAAACAACCUCUGAUUUUACAAACUUCUCAUCUAAUCACUACCGUUGGAAUUUUUAUCUAAGACUCUCCUAGAUAUUAGACCCUUCUCAUUUACCUUUAAUCACACAACAGUGAUAACAACUUCUAACAAUAAACAGAAUACACACCUACAAUGAAACAAAAUCCACUAUUGCUUAAAAUCUCAUGAGUGAUUCACAAUUAUAACUCAAAAAACUUUGUCCAAUUCAAUCAUCUAAGUGAUACAAGAAUGGCUCACAAAUAAUAAUGAACAAACUAAACCCUAACAUAGACUAUUACAUACGCAACUUAGUUAUUUUCUUAGGUUUAGAAUCAUCCUUUAAAUAGACCUAGAAUAGUAUGGGCUUCGGGCUAAAAAAUCAACAUAUCCAUAACAAAUAAAAUCACAUCAAAUCUGAUCAACUUAAAUAUGAUGUAUCCUUAAAUGUUUUGACAUCCAUUCUGCACAAUCUUCUGCAGAAUUAAAUCAAAUCUAAUGUUUUCUUAAAUGUUUUGACAUCCGUUCUGCAUAAUCUUCUGCAGAAUCAAAUCAAAUAUAAUAUUUCCUUAAAUGUUUUGACACUAAUACUUAGGAAACAUUGCACAGCUAGAACCGGUCUUUAAGCUUCUAAAAAAGCCCUUUGAACCGCAUAAUGCGUGAAAUAAAUCAUCAAAGAAUCUUCACUAAUCUCAUGCUAAAAAACAAAUCUUCCAAGAAUGUAAAACCACAACACGCCAUGAUGUCGUACAAGCAUGUCAAGACAUCUUGUCCAACAUCUUUCUAUUUCACUUGUUUCAACAAAAUGCUGCAAAUCACAAAACAGACAACCUAACAUUAUGUAUCUUUUCCAUUGCAUGAAAAAUGCAUUUAUGCUUUCAUGUCCUUUUGUUUAUUGAAUUCUUAUGUUGCAACCUUUUAUGACAAUUGUGAAUUGAAUAUUAUAUUGCUAUACUUGGUUGUGUGUUUAUGAUUUAGUUGUAUUUUUCAAUUAAGACAUAAUUUCAUGUGAGUGUUUGUCUUAAUUGAUUCAUUUAAUCUUUGCAACGCCUUUGAGUAUGUUUAAUUCUAUAUGUUGUUGUGUAAUGAUUCAUGAUGCUUCUCACGUUUUUCUGUCUUUAUCUCUUUUUGAUGUUGUCAAAAGGGGGGAAACACAAGGUUUAUGAUGCACAUAUUCAGGGGGAACUUUGCAAAAGACAACAAGAGUUCCUAGUAUAUUUUUCCAUCAUCAAACAGAGGGAUUAUGUGAGUGUAAUAUUCUCUUAGAUAGUAUUUUGAAUGAUGUCAAAACUUGGUAGGUUAGAUCUUUGUGUAUUUGGACUUUACAAUCUUAAAUGUGCAUCAUCGUCAUAGUAAAACAUGUAAGACUAGAUUACAUAAGUCAUCACAUGCUAAAAUAUGAGUUUUUCACAAAAGACAUGCAUGGGUCGAUACAUGUUGAGUAUGGGUUGAUACACACUGAGUGGAUUUUCAAAGAAUUCAAAACUACCUCAAAUGGGUCGAUAUAAAGGAUAAAUGGGUUGAUACAUCCUAUGAAUGGUUCGACUCGUUCUUGUUUGGGUCGACUCAAUCUGAAAGAUGUUUUUCAAAGAUUUGUCGCUGCUUCUAAUGGGUCGAUACAAAGGAGAAAUGGGUCGAUACAUUGAGCGAAUGAGUCAACUCUCCCGUGUUUGGAGUAGACUCAUCCUGAAACUUUUUCUUUACAAAUUGUCUACUGCCUCUAAUGUAUUAACUCUAUUUGAUUUCGUAUUGGCUCAUUCAGCUGAUGUAUUGACUCAUUUCAUUUUAGAGUCAAUACAUUUUGUACCAAAUUUUAAAAUUGCAUUUUGGCUAAAAAAAUGUUUUACUCAUUUCUUUUCUACACUCACACAUACAUAUAAAUACGCAUUCAUGCAUCAUUUUUAAGUAAUUGAAACCUGAAAGACACAAAGAAUUUUCAUCAUCUUUAACCUCUCUUGACGCAUUCAUCAACUACACAUAAUCAUUUAUGAUUGUUUGUUGGGAAGAAAAUUUUGAUAAUGUCUAAUUUAGGUUUGUGUAAUCAAAUUGGGUUGAGGUUUUCUUUGCGGGUUUCGAGGAUAAAAUCGUUAGGGUUUUUACUCCAAGAUCAAGGGUUAAUUUGGAGUUUUUUGCACAACCCUUGUUAACUUAGAUUCAGCGAAGCGAAGGCUCUGAAGAACGGGGGUUCUUGUAAAGGAGUAACGGUAACCAGAGGUUAAAAUGAAAGGCUUGGGACAAGAUUUUGCAAUUUGGAUUCAGCUGAAUGAAAGCUUUGAAGAACAUAAUGUUCAGUCAAAAGAGUAAUGGUAACUGAAGGAUCAUAUUGGAGAUCUUAUAUGACUUGAUCUUGCUAAGAUCAAGGAUAGAGAAUGAGCUAUGAUUAACAUUAAACAUAGGGUUUAGGGUUUGAAUUUCUACUACUUCUCUUGUAAAUUGAUAUUGCUAAGGUUAAUUACAAUAUCUCUAUUCAAUUUUGAAUUGAGGACAGACGUGCCCAUAGUGAUGACAAUUUGGGAACUGCCUAAACAAAUCUUGAUGUUCUCUCUCUCUCUCAAAUUUAUUUUUAGAUUUUGAUCAUACUUAGUGUGUAGUUUGAAUUUAUGGAAAUUUUGGAUGUGUUGAAGUGUUUAAAACUAUUUGUGUAAAACGAUUGAAAUCUAAACCAUUGAAAUUAAUUUAUUGUAACUUAAACACAAAGAGAAUCAAGCUUGGUGUAUUGCACACCAAGUGUUUGACAAAAUUACUCUGUCAAGUUUAUUUUUACUUCUCAUUGGAAAUAAUUUAUGUUAAGUGGGGUUUAUAUUGAAACAAACUAUAUUGAACUUUUGGAUUGGAUUUUGUCAUCUUUAGCAUACUUUAUAUUAUAGUUUGUACGCAUAUCUUUCCACCAAUAACGGUUCUGAUAGACGAGAUUCGAUCCAAAUUCGUUUUCACUUGCCAUAGAAAAAUAACUUUCAAAAUAAAAUUUUAAGAAGAAAAAAUUCAUUAGGCAAUCUAUUCAACCCCCACCCCUUUUAGAUCGUUACCUCUUCUAACAUCUCCCUUUGACGCUUCUGAAUGUUUAUGUUCUUCGAUAGGGUUAUUUACCAUUCUCUCUCUCUCUGAUGCUUUUGAAUGUUUAUGUUCUUCUCUAGGGUUGUUGAUUUAUUUUUUUAAUAGAUAAAUGAUAUUAGGAUGUUGUGUGUAUUCACAUUGUCAUGUGUAUUGUUCAUGUUACAAUGUUCAUGUUUUAUUCAGAUUUUGUGAAUAUGCUUUAGGUUAUGGUGUUGGAUAUGCAUAUGCAUAUAAUCAUAUUAGGAUGUUGUGUGUCUAGUAUUAAUGUUCCAUUCAAAUUUGUCUUUUGAUAUAAAUUUCAGAAUUUGUUAUGGAUCGUAGUUGGAUGAAAGUUGAUAUAUUAGGUCCGAUGUAUGAGAAAUAAGUUAUUGAAUUCCUUGAAUUUGCCAAAAAAAAAAGUUCUUGACAAUAAUGGCAUCUUUUAUUGUUCUUGUGUUGUUUGCGGGAAUAUAAAAAAACGGUCAAAGAAAGAAAUAUUACAUCACAUAUGUUAUGAUGGAAUAUGUCAAAAUUAUACAACAUGGAUGUAGCAUGGAGAAGUGGAUAAUAAUCGAAAUACAAUGUCACAAAUGGAUGAAGAUGAUGAAGAUAUGGAUCAUCGACUAAAAGAUACGAUCUGUGAUAUUGGAGAAUCAUAUUAUAUGAAAGCCCAUAUUUAUGAUACUUUAUGUAGCAACAAAGAUGCACUUUUAUAUAAGGGAUGCACCCAUUUUAUAUGAUUGUCUGUGUUGUUAAAAUUGUUUAAUCUGAAGACAAAAGGUGGGUGGUCGGAUAAAAGUUUCACAAAAUUGCUUGAUUUGUUUAAACAAAUGCUACCAGAAGAUAAGAAUUUGUCGGAUUAUUAUUACGAGGCCAAGAAGACAUUGUGUACAAUGGGUUUUGAGUAUGUCAAAAUACAUGCAUGCCCUAAUGAUUGCAUACUAUACAUGAAGUAUUAUGAAAAUUUGGAUCAAUGUCCAAAAUGUAGUGAGUCGCACCACAAGUUGAAGAACAAUAAUGGUGAUGACAAUGACAUUGUUAGUAAGAAGUGUCCUCUUGCUAAAGUGUUAUGGUACUUUCCAAUAAUUUUAAGAUUAAAGAUACUUCUUGAUAAUGAGAAUGACACAAAGAAUAGUAUAUGGCAUCCAGAUGAAAUAAAAUAUGAUGAAAAAAUUUGCCAUGUAGUUGAUUCUUUGCAAUGGAAGAUAAUUGAUUCAUUGUUUCUGGAUUUUGGCAUUGAGCCAAGAAACCUUAGGCUUGGGCUUGCCAUAAAUGGAAUGAACCCCUUUAGUAAUCUGAGUACUAACCAUUCUUCGUGGCCUAUUCUUCUCACGAUUUACAACCUAUAUCAUUGGAUGUGCAUGUAUAUGAUGUUAAGUAUGAUUUAUGGACCAAGACAACCUGGAAACGGCAUAGAUGUUUAUAUAAGUCCAUUAAUUGAGGAUUUGAAACUUUUAUAGGAUAAAGGUGUUGACAUUGAUGAUGCAUAUUCUGGUGAAAAGUUUAAGAUGCGUGAAAUGUUAUUUUGAACAAUCAACGAAUUUCCUACAUAUGGUAAUUUGGUUGGAUAUAGUGUCAAAGGACAUAAAGCAUGUCCUAUAUGUGAAUCUGAUACCUAUUUUCAUCAGCUUGAGUUUGGAAAAAAGACAGUUUACCUUGGGCAUUGGAAAUUUCUAAAACUCAAUCAUCCUUAUCUUAAAUUAUGGAAGGUUUUUAAUGGAGAACAUGAGUUUGAGAGCGCUCAUAAACCUUUAACUAGCGAUGAAGUUUAUCAACGACAAGAACACCUUACUAUUUUCUUUGGAAAGAAUAAAGAUGGUCAUGCUGAGAGAAAUAUUUGGAAAAAGAGAUAGGUGUUUUUUGAUAUUCCAUAUUGGUCUAGACUCGAUGUAAGAUAUUGUCUUAAUGUGAUGCAUGUGGAGAAAAAUGUGUGUGAUAGUUUGAUAGGAACACUUCUAAACAUUCCAGGAAAGAGUAAAGAUAAUAAGAAUUCCCGUUUAGAUAUUGUGGAGAUGGGUAUAUGAAAAUAGUUGGCUCCAGAAGAUAAAGGAAAAAGUUCUUAUUUGCCUCCGACAUGUCACACUCUAUCUAAAAAAAGAAAAGAAAAGUUUUUGCGAGUGUUGGCAUGGUAUCAAAGUUUCCCAAGCCUAAUCAUCAAACAUCAAGAAACUUGUAUCAUUGAAAAAUAUCAAGUUAAAUGGCUUAAAAUCUCAUGAUUUCCAUGUCUUGAUGCAACAACUUCUACCAAUGGCUAUCUGUGGUAUCCUUCCAAAAAUUGUAAGAGUAACUAUAAUUAGAUUGUACUUAUUCUUCAAUGCCAUAUGUAAUAAAGUUAUUGAUUUCAAAAAAUUAGAUGAAUUAGAAGAUGAGACCACAAUAAUAUUGUGUCAAUUGGAGAUGUAUUUUCCUCCAUCAUUUUUUGACAUUAUUGUUCACUUACUUGUUCAUCUAGUCAGAUAAAUCAGAUUUUAUGGUCCAAUUUAUUUAAGGUGGAUGUAUCUUAUAGAGCGAUAUAAAAAAAUAUUUAAAUGAUAUACUAAGAAUCAUCACCGACCAAAAGCUUUGAUCGUUGAAAGGUACAUCACAAAAAAAUCUCUUGAAUUUUAUUCAAACUAUUUAUCGAAAGAAUAGUCUAUUGGAAUUCCAAAGUCUCGUCAUGCUGACAAAUUUGAAGGUAGAUGUACUCAAGGUUUAAAUAUUAAGUCAAUGGAUGAGAUGUAGUAAUUGAAGCACAUUUAUAUAUAUUGAAUAAUCUUAGUGUAGUUGGACCUUAUAUAACUAUUCACAAAACAAUUAUAAAGAAAAAGUAUCCUCGAAUGAAUGACAAGUGGUUGUUGACGUGACAUAACAAGGAAUUUAUAAGUUGGUUUAAUAAGAGGAUUUCUAAUGAUGAUGGUCCAUCCUAGACAAUUUAAUGUUUGUCAUACAUGCCAAAAUUUAUUGUGAUAACUUGAACGACAUAUGACAUUUCUAAUUUCCUUUUAUAUAAAAGCAAAAGAUGAUCAAAGUACAAGACAAAAUUGUAAGGGUAUGGUUGAGGUUGAAUCCAUGUAUUUCUCUAGUUCGCAAGAUAAGAAUCAUAUUUUAGCAACCACCGCGUUCUAUGGUGUCAUUGAGAAGAUUCUAGAGAUUGAUUAUGUUAUUUUCAACGUGCCUUUAUUUAAAUGCAAGUGGGUUCCCAAUAACAAUGGUGUACAAAUUGACGAGUUAGGAUUCACACGAAUUGACCUUGGCAAGACAACUUAUAACAACAGACUAUUUAUCAUGGCUAUUCAAGCAAAACAAGUUUUUUAUGUGACAGACUCUGCAGACUUAUCAAAGAGAUGGUCAAUUAUUCUCAAAGGAAAACAUAUUUCUCAUAGUGAUGGUGCAAGUUUUGAUAUUUCUUCCACUCCUUCUUAUGCAACACAAAUGCCUACUUUAUAUGAAGAAGUUGAUAGAGAUGAUCUACAUGUUAUUUGUAACGAUCAUCAAGAAGGCAUAUGGGAAAAUUAACAAGUAUUUUAUAUUCUUCAUUCAUAAUUUAUUGUAUGUUAUAAUUUCUAAUGAUAUUAUUUUCUAACAACUAUAUUAUUUGAAUAUAGGUAUUUAAAGUCAAGACACAAAGACAACAAGGUAAUAUUAUUUGAUAUAAUGAUGUGUACAUGGUAGGUUAUUUUGUGUCAUUUUGGCUUUGAUGUAAUAUACAAUUUUUGGUUCCUAAUGGAAUUGUGUCAUUGGUGUAAUACAAAAUUUGGUCUAAUUCAAUUCACAAUUGGGUGUAUUCUUGUUUCUGGUCUGAUACGAUUCAAAAUAUUAAGGUUAAAAAUUUGAGAAUACUGUAAAAUUGAAAAAUAUAUACUAAAUAAAUAAAUAAUAUCACAAUGGUUUUUAAUUCAACCGUUGUUAUAAGUAGAGCACUAUGCAUAAUAAUAUAAUGCAAAAAUGACGUUGUUGGGAUUUGAACCCAAAACCUAUAAAUUAUUUCACAACGGUUGUCUUCUUUAUCCAUUAUUGUAAGUAGCAUGCUACCUAACUUAUAACCACAAUCACUCGCUCGUUGUGAAAACCAACAUACAUACAAUCACACACUACCUAACAAUAGACGUGAAAUUGUCAUUGUAUGUGUUUCACAACUGUCAUUAUAUGUGUUUUCUAUAAUAAUGCUUUUUUGAUUUAUUGCAUAAGUUACAUGUAGCAUCCAUAUUAUAAAUUUUGAAAAAAAUCGCACUGCAUGUCUUCGGAUUUUAUAAACCAAACAAACAUAUUGACAUGUAUUUAGAUUUCAUAAUAUGAAUAUUAUUAGAAUGUGUGUUGAUUGGUGUAAAUUUUGUUGAUUAGUAGUUUAUGUAUACUCUCUUCAAUCUCAUAACCAACAAAAUAAAAUUCAAUGUUGUUAAAUAUAAGUAAAAUCUUCUCUCAUUAUUACAUUCAAUUUUACUAUUCCAAAUAUUACUACUCUUUAUUUUUAUUUUUAUAGCCUCGUGUUUUUCAAGUUUCCAAAAUAAAAAGUAAUGGUAAAAAUAGAAAUAGUGUAUGGCUUAAAUGUAUUUAGAUGACUUCUUUAAAGAUUUUGUAAAUUUGCUUAUAUAUAAGAUUAGAUGUAGUAUUUGUCAAUUUUCAAUAAUGGAUAAGAAUAGUAUGCUGAACUCGUGCAAGGAAUAAAACAGACUUAACCACUGUCUCUACCCGACUUGAGCAUCAAUGUAAAAUUUGAGCAAAUAUAAUUGGAUUUGCAAACUACAACCUCAUCCUCGUGAGAUUGAGGUGGAGGUUGAAGUUUUGGAGGAGAGUGAAAGUUCUAAUUAUUCUUUUUUUUUUAAUUUCAAGAUGGGAAACUGAAAUAUAUAAGUAACGACAAAAAAUUCAUAAAAUUAACUACUCCAAAUAAACAAUUUUUCAUAAAUGUCAUUCGAGACAAUAAUCUAUAUGACCUUGACACCAUAGGUUUUAGCGUAGAUGAUCAUUGCUUGGUGAAAAUUUUGGAUCUAUAUGCUUGCAGGCAUAAAGUUAAUAGUUCUAUCGACAAACCUCAAAAGUAUUUUGAUGACGACAACACUAAUAAUUCCUAAAAUCGGUGGUAACAUCUUUCCAACUCCUUUAUGAUGGUGAUUAACUUGAAGAUACCUCAAGCCUCAUCAGGACGGAGACUCAAGGUUCCAUUAAAGUUUUUAUAUGAUCAAUGUAUCUGGCGAAGGAAUUUAAAAUCUUUAGAAUUAUGAAAGAAAGAAAGUGUGAAAGCUAGCCUAAUCGUAUCUGUUUGAGUAACCAGAGUCUUCUGAAAGUAAGAGAGUAUCUCCUAAGAUACUUAGGAAACACACAGAUAUGCACACACACACACAUGCACAUACACAUACACUUUCUCUCUCUCUCACACUCUUUUUUUUUAUCUCUCUCUCUCUCUCUCACACUCUCUCUCUCUCUCUCUCUCUCUCUCUCUCUGAGAAAGAGAGAGAGAGAGAGUCUCUCUCUCUCUCUCACACACACACACACACACACUCAUUUUAACUAUCAAAAUACCUAAAAAUGUUUUCAAGCCUUAGCCAAUUGAUUAGGAAAUUGUCAACUUCAUUAAAAGCAACUUUUGAACUAUCUAAUCGAUUAUAUCCUAAAGCUAAUCGGUUAGAAGAAGCGAAAUCAAUUAUAUAAUUAAUUAUGGUAGCGUAUUAAUGAUUAGUAACGACUCUAUAUCUAAACAUUCCAAAAUGGGCUAAAAUAAUCUAUUAUUUUUUUGUAUCUAAUCGAUUGGGCUUAUGGCCUAAUUAAUUAGAUUAGUUAAUUGGCUCAUGGAUUAUUUCCUUUUUAGCCAAUUAUUCUCUCUCCUCUUUAUUUCACACAAGAAUUCCAAAUUUCUCUAGUUCUUUGGAAUUUAUCUCUCUUUGUUGUCUCUCUAAAUAUUUUCUUUCACCAAAGUUACCUUAGUGCAUUGUGAGUGAAAACUAUCUGUGAGGAAUAAUUUAUACUAGUGUCGUUCCAUUGUUAUUACUCUCAAGAGUGAGAUAUUCUUGAGAAAUCGAGUUUAGUUAUUGAGAUUAACCAUUCUAAAAAUCUUUGUUUGGUUCUAGGACUUAGCCUGGAAAAUUUUAGUUUGGUUAUUGAGAUUAGCAUGGAAAAAUCUAAUUAGCUCGUUAGUUCAACUUGUGAAAAGACUUUCUUUUUGUUAGGGAUAAGUCACUGUAAAGUCUCUAGAUCUGUUUGUAUCAAAGGUUUGUGGAUAUAACCUGUAAAAGUUCAAGUUUAUGGUCAAAAUCUUAAGAAGAUCUCAUGGGGAUAAAAGUCGGUUAACUUUCGACCAAACCUGGAUAAAUCAUUGGUGUAAUCUCUCUAACCCUUAUCUUUUAUUUUUGUCCUUUAUUAUAUUAACUUUAAUUUUUGUUGCUUUUCACUAUAAUCUUAAUAUUAACGUAAUUUGACUUUUAAGUAACAAAAACUUAAGUUUAAUUACGAAUUUUUAAUACCACAAUUCACCUCACUCUUGUGCUUGAAGUCACUUGUUCAACAAGUGACAUCAGAUCCUAACUCAUAUUAAAGACUAAUCAUCCCAUGAGGAAAAACAACUUCAAUCUAUUCACUAAAUAAACCACCAUCCUUUAAUGGAUAAGGGUAUAUUUAUUGAAAAUGUAAAAUGGAGUUUUCCAUAUAAGAGAUGGAUUGUGGUAUUUAAAAAGUUGUGAAGGAAAGUUUAUGUUCAUACACAUCAUACUGAUGGUGUUGUAGUGAACAAAACUGGAAAUAAUUGGACCAAAGAUGAUAAAGAAAAUGUGUAGUGCAGUUUGAAAGCAAAAAUGGUCAUCACCGCCACUCUUGGUCUUGAUAAAAGCAAUGUGGGACAUCCUCCAAAUUACCCAUGAAGUAACUAUUUGUGUAAAGAGGGCAAGGUUGGGAUCAUUAACCUAUUAGUAUAAAAUUUUCAAGAUGAAACCUAAAGAGAACAUAAAUUAGAUGCAAACACGAUUUACACAUAUCAUGAGCCACAUGAGAACUCUAGGAAAAACAUUUUCAAAUGAAGAACUAGUUGUGAAAACUCUUAGAUGUUUAAACUGUAACUAGAAACCUACAUUGACUAUGAUUUGAGUAUCUAGGGAUCUAGAAAUUAUAGAUACACACACAUACAUACUCUGUUUGAGAAAUUACAAGAACACGAAAUAUAAUUAAACAGGCUUGCCAUAGAUGAGGAAGGAGAAAAGAAAAGCAAAAGUCUAACACUCAAAUUCGAAUAGUCCAACUCAGAUGGUGACAUGUAUCUUAUAGUAAAGAACUUAAAAAUAUUUCUAAAUCAUGAGAAACAACAAAAAUAGGAAGAUGAGGAAAAAAUUUCAUUUAUCCCCACUUGCUACAAGUGUGGAAAGAAAGGGCACAUUAGGCCAAAUUAUCCCUUAGCUAAAAGACAAAUAAAAAGAAAUCUAAGAAACUUUAGAAAAAGGCCAAGAAAGCUUACAUAGUAUGAGAACAUAACAAUAUGAAAUCCUUAGACAAUGAAGAGGAAAACUAACAUCUAUCUCAUGGAAAAUCAUCAAGAUGAUGAGGUAACUUCUUAUUUUUCCUAUCACGAUCUUUUUUGCAUUUGUAAGAAACUAACAAAAGAACCAAGAAAACUGAAACAAAUUGUGUGUAUCGAAGGAUAUUAUUUCUUCUCUUGAACUUAAAAAUAAAAAACCUUGAGAAAGAAAAUAAAUCCUUAGAGAAAUAUAAAAUGAUACAGUUCAAAACUUUUCCACUUUAAACGAAGAGGAUGAAUCUGAUAAGUGCAACAAAGGUGAUACUUUGAAAAAUGAAAUUUGCGAUUUUCAAAAGUCAUUUGUUAAGUUCACCAAAGGAAGAGAUAACUUGAAUCUUCAGUUGGGAAAUCAAAAAGUUUCUUACAAUAAAGUUGGUCUCGGUUAUGAACCCAAAAAUGAUAGUAGAACUUUAGUAACAUUUGUAUUGCUAAAUCCACCUCUCAUUGCAAAACCUUAAAAUACAACUAUUGUAACAAAGGUCAUAUGGCAUGUUCUGUUUUAUUAAUAAAUUUACGAGAGAAAAGAAGGACAUCCUCCUUCAUACUUUUAUAAAAAAAACAUUGUGAGCGCAAAAUAAAGAUUUCACUUGCUCUAUUAAAUGUUUAUGUCUCUAGUAUAAAGACAAAUGAAAAGAAUAUUUAUACAACUAACAAUAAAGGACCCAAGAUGACAUGGGUACCUAAAUUUAAGACCUAGGCUUUUAUUGCAGGAGUGCUUUACAGUCUUGAUUUUUAAGUAACAAAAACUUGAAUUAAAUUGCGAACUUUGAAUAGUACAAUUCACCCCCCUCUUAUGCUUGAAGUUACUUUUUCAACAACAACCUUUUUUAGAGAGGUGGCACGAGGAGACAUCAACUUGUAUAUCCCGAUUAAGGAGAUGAAAGUGAAACUAGAUGAAAUCUCAUGUUUUCUGCAUCUGCUACUCAAGAGUCGUAUUCUUGACUACACCAUAGUUACAAAGCAUAAAUAUUAUCUAAUGGUUGAUCUUCUCGAAGUAGAACCACAUAACAUUGAACAAUAAUUUUAUGAGGGCCCUGGAGGUAAUGCAUGGUUCAAAUUCCUGAAGGGUUAUUUAUGAAACACCUUGAAACUACAGGGGCUAGUGACUAGGCCGAUGAAGGUGUUAAGAAAUAGUUGUACAAGCAGUACAAGACUAGGAUAUAUCUCCCUUACUUGAUGGACUCAACCAUUUUCACAAAAAAAGGCCAGUUAUAGUCACAUGAUGUAUUUAGAGCAUUUCAUGGAUCUAUACAUGAUCACUGGCUAUACUAGAGGCACUGUUACAUUGCCUUACUUGUAUAGGGAGAGCUGGAUGUUGUGACCAAGUUUAAGAUGAUACAAUUAGUAAUAUAUAUGACAUUAUUUCAAGUAAAAUAUUCAUGUAGUUAUUUAAUUAGUUGUUAAAAGUAUUUUCUUCAAUAUUAUUUACUAAUUAGUAUACAUUGUUGCAUGCAUGAAUCUAUCAAUAUUUCCCCAAUAUUGACAAACAAAGAGUAUGACAAGACGGUGCCUCAUGCUAACCUUUUCAUUUCGCUUAAAAGAUAUCCAACUAGAAAAUUGUAUUGAGAACCUAUAUUUUGACUAUUAUCACAAGAUGUGUUCCUUGACUUUUACGAUACUCAACGUGCCAUAUACCUUUUCAAUGACAUUAGAUUCUAUUUUGGUUAGGUCAAAUGUUUACUAUGUAUGGUUAGGUACUUUCCAGAGGUAAUUUUGCCCUAGUUCAAUAAGAUGCAAACUAUUAUAAGACAUCAAUUUAUCUAUGUUAUACACACGACCACUCGAGAGUACGUUGAUCAUAGGUAUCUUGAGCGGCUAGACCACAUCUUCCUAAAUAUUUAGGAUAUUGCGACAUGAAACAUAAGAUAAUAUAUUAAGAUAUCACUUCCUUACCUGAUCCCCAUACCUGAGGGAAAAUCUUUGGUACUAAUUGAGAAUGAAUCACUUGAAGAGGAGGCAAAAAAAGAGGAUCACAAUAGUCGGGUCCCUAUUUGCACAUAAACUUGAGACAUGACUUUUGAAUUAUUAUCUCAUGGGACUAUUAAGUUGGGUACUAAAGUUUACGAUGUUGUCUAGAGCAUUCAAAUGAAGGUUAAAAAUUCCUUGUGACACAAGAGAUUUAGGAGGAAUGAAAAUAAUUCUUGUGUGAAAGGUUUCAAAGCAAGGAUUCUCACAAGGAUGGCUAAUAUAAAUGUAAGUUACAUAUUUAUCACUAUCAUAUCCACACAUUUAUUUGCUUACUUAGACACGAAGUAAUACAAGAAACUUUUAAUUUAUGCUUAAUUAAGAAUUUUCUUAUGUUACUUCGUUCUAAGUAAGCAAAUAUCACAGAGGUAUUAUAUACGAAAGAAAUUUUUAAUUAAACAUAAAUUAAAAAUUUCUUGUGUUACUUCGUGUCUAGUAACUUACUUACUAGACUAUUGGUGGUUUCACUAGUGACUUGCUUCUAGUGUUUAAAAAGUAAUAAAAACUAAUUUCCACAUCAUCAUAAAAGUAUUUUGAAAAAAAGUCACUUUUGAAUACUCUCAAUUUUUAAAAGAAACUAUUCCAAAUAUUCAAAUUGGGAACACCUUUUUUUUAUAAGCAAAAUUAUACCCCUGAAUUAAAUUUGAAGUUUCUCAAUCAUCCUCUAAAAUAUGGAGGUAUACUUUAGAAGAAAACAGCAAAAACUUAAAAGGAGGUGUGGAAAUGAAUUUUAUGCAUACCGAAAGCAAGUCCCUUUUUUUUAACAGGGGCAUGAGGCCCAACAAAUACGAGUUAUUGUCAUUCAAAAAAAAUAAUGUAGAAGUGGAAAUAGUUGCAAGGAAAAGUGCUCGGGUCCCCGCCGCAGCAGGUUAACGAACGGUGGCAACUGCAACUGCAACUACAAAUCUGAUAUAAACCCUACCAUCACCAUGUCCAACGACUCUUUGUUCGCCGGCAUUCGUUUUGACAGAAAGAAAUUCGGCGCAGAUAUUGCCAGGUUUCAGGUACCAUUUCAAUCUCUCUUUAACUAAACGCCGCUGAAAGUGAAUUCAAGAAAUUCCAACCAAUUUUUUUGACCUAAAUAUUCAUCACUGCUCAAUUUUCAACCAUUAAAAUUCGGAGCAGUUUUCUCUUAUGUACCUUUGUCAAUCAUAGUAGCGUGAUAUUUUGUAUGCAUAUAGAACUUAACAACGGCUACUAGCUAAUUUGAUAAACUGUACAUCCUCAGAAAGCGUCCUUAUGGGAUACAUGGAUUUCUGAUAAGACUAUUUUUAGCAAUUUUGGAAGUCUUUAAAAGAGGACUUUGAUUAUAUAAUCAAGUUCGCCAUUCAUGAAAAUGAUGAUACUGCACGCUGUAUUCUUAAUAUGAUGUCCAUUAGAGCAGAUACUAGAGCUAAGCACAAAGAAAUCAAAUGAAGCUUGUAAUGGAAAGAAUCUUCCCUGCAUGGUUUGAAAGUUACAAGUUCACAAAGAGACGGACUUCUUUUUUGGAGGAUUUCAGAUGUUUUUUUAUGUUUUUUUUAUUUUAAUCUUUUAGUUUUUUAAAAGUAAGUCGUGCACGAGAGAGAUGGUUUCAAACAUGUUUAUGCAGCAAGGCUUGAUAAAAUGUAGUCAUUCUCUUGCUAUUGAGAAAAACCCAAGUCCCAUAUGAUAAAGAGAGUCUGAAACGCGGUUAUAAAGAGGGACAACCCCUACAUUACUAGUCGGUUUUGUUAGGAUGAGUUAAAUCCAAUAUAAAAACUUACUAUGAUAUUAGAGCCUAUCGAUUUGGGCCACCUGCCAUUUAAUCCAUACAUCAAGCUCAAUAGUUAUGGGUGUGACUUGUGAGGGAGUGUAUUGGUAAAAACCCUAGUCCCACAUAAAAAUAAAGAAAAUGUUUGAAAUGAGUUUGUAAAGAGUGACAUCUCUCACCUUAAAAAUCAGUUUGUAAGGAUGGGUUACACCCAACAUAAAAAACCUAAUGCUUACUUAUUUCAUUUCUUAAUCUAUGCGAAACACUGAUAAUAGUUAUUUCUUUAAAAAAAGAAAAAAAAUGCCGAUACUAGUUUGGCGAAGAUUCAGAGUGUGACAGAAGAUGAAGAAAUCAAGGAAACAAUAGAAGCUGUGUCUGCAAAGAAAAGGAAGCGCAAGAAAACCUCUUCUGGUAUUCUCAUUCUCAUGUUUUAACACUCUAUGUCACAUAUCACUUGUAUUAAUUGUUCUUUAUCUCACUUUUGCUUUGUUUCUAUGACAAAUAAAAGAAGCUGUUGAUGGAUUCAGUGUGUUCCGAAGUUCAACAUCGAAGUCAAGCGAAAAAGUCCAAGCCGAUGAUGAUGAGUCCAUUCGGCUGAAGAAAGAAAAAAAUAAGCAACUCGAGGUUCAGGCCCUUUAUGUUUUGUGCAAUAUAUAGAACUCUCCGUGUUCUUAAGUUUGUGCAAUAAUUUUCUGACCAUUCACUUUCAUUUUUCAUCUUUAUUUAGCGCGAUGCUAUCUUUAGGAAGAGUCAUAACAUUCAUGUGUCCGGUUACAAUGUGCCGUCCCCACUUCAAAGCUUUGAUGAGUUGAAAACAAGGUAAUUUUCUGUUAAUAUUAUUAUUCUGGAAUCUGGUUGUUACAUAUUCUGCUUAUUAUUAUUAUUAUUAUAUAUUUACAUGAACAUGGCAUUGCUGGUUCAGAAUCUUAAAAUGAACUGUUUAUUAUAGUUAUAAAUGUCCGUCCUAUUUAUUGCGGAAUCUGGCAGAACUUGGAUUCAGAGAACCAACACCAAUCCAACAGCAGGCUAUUCCAGUACUCUUACAGGUACGGAUCACAUUGGACAUUAUGUUAUUCGAAAAUCAUUGAUGUAGUUUGAUCUUGGUUUUGAUUCGUGCAAGCUUGAUAUUGUUUGCAAGAGAGAUAGUAUCACAAUAUUGUUUUUACUGAUAUUUUCCUUCACUAAUAUGAGAUAGGAUCGUGAAUGCUUUGCCUGUGCCCCAACCGGCUCUGGAAAAACCCUUGCAUUUGUGUGUCCCAUGCUCAUGAAGCUCAAGGUAUUGCUUAUAUUUUGUUGUCUUUUGCUUCCAACAUCCUGGGUCAUGGGUUCCAAUAAUCAAAUGUGUUUAUAGGCUCAUUCAAAAGGUGGCGUUCGAGCUGUUAUCAUCUGUCAUAGCCGUGAAUUAUCUGGUCAAACAUACCGAGAAUGCAAAAAGUUUGCCAAAGGGGAAAAGUUUCGUAUCAAGUUAAUGACAAAACAUCUUUUAGAAGGUUCUGAUUUUUCAAAUUUUCCUUGUGACAUACUUAUAUCCACGCCCUUUCGAUUACGCUUGGCUACCCAGAGGAAAAAGCUUGAUCUCAGCAGGUGUGUAAUAAUAAAAAAAUCUGGCUUAUUGAUUUAAUCUUAUUACUCUCUAAAAAAUAAUCAAGUAAAUCAUUACAUGUAUAUUAGUCCAUAGGGAUUACUUUAAAUUCCUGUGAUGAUGGUCUACAGCUGCUCCUCUAUGCCACUUAUGCUGUAGUUUAAAUAUCUCAUAUUGAGCUAUACUUUGCUUUGUCCUUUCUCGACCAAUUGCAUGCUAAAUCGUGAAAUUAUCUCCUGGGUUGGUACUUUCUUUUUGCUGUCAUUCUUCAUUCCUUCUGCUAAAAUACAAUAUCAUUGAGGAACAUUUUUCCUGUUAUUCUUCAUUCUAUUUGCGUUUACGUUUCUUUUUAUCUGGCCCUGUGGAAUUAAUGAAGUAGACACGAGUAACCAGUUGAUCAUUCAGUUGACUCAAACCAUAAACCCAACAUGGAAAUCUAAGUUGUUUCAAAGUUUACCACCCCAGGAGAAAGUAAUUAAGUCUAAACACAUUCCAAAGUGUUUAUUGAGAAGCAAGCAAUUGCUAAAUCCAUAUGAAUAAUCGGUUGGAGUCCAUUAUUGCUGUCAAAUAUCUGCCAUGUUGGCGCCAUGGCGGAUUGCAGUGUUUUUUUUUUGACAAUUGUCAUGGCCAAUUUGUGAAGAACGGUGGUGCCAUGACCUUUUAUGGUGUACUUUUGGCUUUCUGCCAUGGUCUUCCAUCCAUUUGCCAUCGAUAACACUGGAGCCCAUUGAACAUGAAAACAAACACACGUUCAGCAGCAUAAUUAUUUCUAAAGAUUAUGGUUUCAUAUAAGAUGGGAGAAUCAAAUAUCUGUUGUAUAUUGGUAAAACAAAUUCAGUGUUUGUUUGCCUCUCAGUUGGCUGUGAUGUUAUUUAAUGAUAAAUUUGAUUGGGUACAACAAAUUGUGGCAUGGUCCAACCCUAGUUGGUGUCGGCUGUUGUAAUGUAAAACCUUAACUACUUAAAUGGUUCAUGCAUUUUCAAAUUUUGCUUGCUGCUUUUAGCUGUAUUCAAUGUUGUGUCUGCAAAGACAGUAGUAAUAAACACUAGACAUGCAAUGUGAUUACCAAAUAGGCGUGUUGAUGUUUUUUUUCUUUCAACUCUUUUGGUUGCUGCAGAGUUGAGUAUCUUGUCCUUGAUGAGUCUGAUAAGCUAUUUGAGCCUGGAAUGUUCAAGCAGAUUGAUGCUAUUAUCAAAGCAUGCACAAAUCCCUCAAUAGUACGCUCUCUAUUCAGUGCUACUUUACCUGAUUUUAUUGAAGAUAAAGCUCGAGAACUUAUGCAUGAUGCUGUUCGCGUAAUCGUUGGCAGGAAGUAAGUUCAAUAAAAAAUUUACAAUAGAACAUUAUGCUCAUGUGCAUUACUUUAACUCUUCACCCUAUUGUAAAAGAUAACAUCUAAUACUUUUAUGGGAAUCAGGAAUAUGGCUUCUGAAACAAUUAAGCAGAGGUUGGUUUUUACUGGAAGUGAAGAAGGAAAACUUAUAGCAAUUCGGCAGAGUUUUGCAGAGGUAUGAAACUAAAAUGAAUGCUUUAGAUAAAAGGCAUUAUUAGUCAGUUUGUUUUUCUUCUGCUUCAAUAUGUUUUGUCUCACAGGUCACAACUUAACCUUGGUCAGUGUGGGUCUUAUUGAAAAGUAAUUAGAAACCUCAUUACAAUUUAUCGUUAAUAUGUAUUUCCUGUUGUUAAUCUGCCUAGUUAAGAGAAACUAUUAAUAAAGAUUUUGGAGAUUAAUGAGUUGGAUAUAAAUAUGAUAUAUGAUAAAAUAUUAUGACAUUGUUUGAUCCAUGUAGCCGACUCCAAAUAGUGAGAUAAGGCUUUGUUGUUGAUUGUAUGUUGCAUGCAUAUAGUUUAAUAUUUACCUUGUUUCAGUUUGGUGUUAAAUAAUGUAUUGUGAGUGUAAAUAUGUAACGACUUGGAACACUUGUUAUUGUAACAUCUACCUUUGAAACUAGCGGAAAGAACAUAAUAUUGCAACACUUGUUUGCUCACUCCUAAUAUAUCAGUUGCUUGCAUUUGUUGACUUUGUUUUUUUUUGCUUUCCAUAUCUCGAAGAGUCUAAAUCCUCCAGUAUUGGUCUUUGUCCAAAGCAAGGAGCGAGCCAAGGAGCUGUAUGGUGAACUUGCAUUCGACAAUAUUAGAGUUGAUGUCAUCCAUUCUGAUUUGUCUCAAGAAGAGGUAGUUCUCAAUCCCUUUGAACAAAAUAAGCUUCUUGUUGGAAAGUAUGAAGGCACUCUGAAACGUUUUUCCCUUCAGCCAAAAAAUGCAAAAAGAAAAAAGAAAACCCAUGAAUUAUAUGACCAAGAUCUCUGGCCCAUACUAUUUAUAUGGUGAAGAUGUCAAAUUAUAGUAUUCCUUGUUUGUGCAAUUGCUUUUGUACUUGACUAAUCUGCUCAUCAUUACUGAACAAGACAAACCUGUUUUUAAUAUACAAUUCUGUUUAACUUUUAAUCUCUGAUCAUCAGCAAUGGGUACUCCAUUAUGAAAGCGCAUAUUUGUUAAGUUAGCUGUAGCCUGUAACUAUGAUGUGAUUUUUUUAAUCUCUUGAAUUCUAUACAGCGAGAAAACGCAGUUGACAACUUCAGAGCUUGUAAAACAUGGGUUUUGAUUGCCACUGAUGUGGUUGCUCGAGGAAUGGAUUUCAAAGGCAUUAACUGCGUGAUCAAUUAUGAUUUCCCAGAUUCUGCAUCGGCAUAUAUCCACAGAAUUGGUUAGUGUCACGACAUGAACAUUUUUUUUUUAAUAUUUAAGAAGUGUUUAGAGGGGCUGUGAUUUGUAAUAUUCACUCACUGAGCCUUUUCUUUAUUAUAUAUUCUUUGAUACAUCAAUUUUUAAUAAUGAUUUGAAUCUACUUUUUGCUAAAUAUAAAUGUUGAUAUUUCAAUAGGUCGAUCUGGUAGAGCAGGGAGGAGUGGCGAAGCAAUUACAUUUUACACAGAAGAGGAUAUUCCAUUCUUGAAGAACGUAGCUAAUCUAAUGGCAUCCUCAGGCUGUGAAGUUCCAUCCUGGUUGACGGAGUUGCAGAAAAAGAAGUGGAGGAAGCACCGACCCAAAAGAGAUUCUAUCUCAACUAAACCUGACAAAGUUGCAAAAAAACAAGUGACAGAAAAAGCAGUGGAGGAAGCACCGGCCGAAAAAGAUUCUAUCUAGACUAAACCAGAUCUUUAAGUCUAUUACAACAACAAAUUGGAACAAGUUUUUGACCUGUGAAAUUUCUUGAAGUGUUUAUUUCUUGAAAGACCAUGCAACAGUGUUAAUUUAUAAUCCUCCCUCUCCAAAAAUGAUGAAAAGGGGGUGACUGGAUGGUGUGCGGGGAAUGUUGUCUAAUGCUUAUAUAAGUUCCAACCAUGAUAUAAUCAUAUACAUUACCUUAGUGCCAGUUGCAACACCCAUAAAUGGGAAUUUUUGGGCCUUCCUUUGUACUGAACAAGCAAUUUUGUUGAUCCUAAAAUGUCUGAUUUGAUAUACGUUGAAACAACAUUUCAUUCAAUAGAUUUUUAUUGUGUGAUGGCUUUCUACACAGUAUGUUAGUAAUUCUUCCAAUGCCAAGGCAUGCACAUAAUACAUGCAAUUCUGUAGUAUAUGUCAAUUAUUUAAACAUUUUAUGUGGGCUAAGUCUCUUAACAUAAUUUAAGGAUUUAAUUUGUUCCAUUAUUUAAUAAGAGUAAAAAGUUUUACAUUGUCGAUUCAUCACCAUCAUCCGUUUGUAUUAUUUUGUAGGUUUUUAAGAUAAAAGUCAAAUUUGGUUCAAUAUCCAACGUCUAUAAUUAAUUGAUGGUGUAAAAUUCUUUUAUACUGUCAGUGUAUUUCAAUUAAAUUCAUUUAAUAAAUGUUAUUUUUUAAUCAUUUAAAAACUAUUUCAUGACUUAUGUGAAUGACAUUAUCUCAACAUGAAAGAAGUGGAGGAAAAAAUAGUGUUCGUAAAUGUUUUUUUUUUGUAGAUUAGCGAAAACCUUUGUAUCUUUUUAGAAUAACUUCAAAAUCAUAUCCUUUUAGAUUAAUCAAUAGUGAAUCGAGAUUUUGAUUUUGAUAUGACUUGGAGUCCUUGUUGGUUUUUUAUUUCUUUAUUCGGUGAUCUAUGAUCUAUUGAUGGUGGGUGUAUUAACUUAAGAUCUAACUUGCUACUUUUUAGUUUGGAGCUCGAAUAAACAGUUUUUCCUUUGGUUCUGUCAUGUCUUAAUGUUUCAUUAGUUUUUCUUCACCUGUUUGUAUUAUAUAUUAAUAUAUAUAUAUAAUAUAUAUAUAUAUAUAUAUAUAUAUAUAUAUAUAUAUAUAUAUAUAUAUAUAUAUAUAUAUAUAUAUAUAUAUAUAUAUAUAUAUAUAUAUAUAUAUUAUAUAUAUAUAUAUAUAUAUAUAUCAAUAUUAUUUUAUUCGGCUUAUGGUACAGCUUGUGCUAUUUGAUUUUCUUUUAUAUUUUGUGUUGAGUAUGACUUAUCAUGUAGAAACUCUAAACAGGUCUUUGGACCACCUGUUUGUUGGGGUAACUUAGGAUUAAAGUUUAGGUUUAGGGGUAUUUCACUUGUAACACUGUAACCCUUAAUUCAUAAGACAAAAGUCAAUGAUAGAAUGUGAUGAAAGUAUUGAUCGAAAUUGCGUUAAAAAAGAUCAAUCAUGUUCAUUGUCUUUUACAUUCGUUUCUCUUUAAUCCUCUAUGUUGGUUGUUGUUCUAAUAGUUGGUAACUCUAGUGUGAAAUUCGAGGUAACAAGGUUUGACGAGACAAAUAAUUUUGGAUUAUGGCAAAUGAGGGUUAAGGAUCAAUUGACUCAUCAAAGUUUAUAGAAAGUGUUGCAUGAGACAAAAUCGAACGACAUGGAGGAUACCGACUGGAUAGAGAUGAAAAACAAGGUUGCGAGAUUGAUUCACAUAUGUGUUUCAGAUGAGGUGAUGUAACAUAUCCUGGAGCUGACGACGCUGGAGGAGGUUUAAGACAAACUGGAAAGUUAGUAUAUGAAAAAGACGUUGACGAACAAAUUACUCCCUAAACAUCGACUAUACAGUCCGAAGAUGCAAGAAGAACCUGAUUUGCAACAACAUGGCAAUGCCUUCAAUAACAUAAUCACCGAUUUGGUGAGGCUUUGGAUGAAAAUUAAUGAAGAUGAUAAGGCAAUUAUCUUUCUCUGCUCGUUACUAGGUUCUUAUAACCACUUGGUGACCUAUGGAAAAGAAAAUAUAAGUCUUGGUGUGAUUACUGCUAUUUUUUUUGUCUCAUUCUCAAAAGAGACAAAGUGUAGAUGAAUGAACUUAAGGCGGAGAUUUGUAUGUGAAAGGGAGUCAAAAUCGUGUGCAGAAUAAGAGUAAUGGAGGUUCUGGAAAAAAGAUGUAUAAAUCUCGGAAUCGGAAAACAACUUAGUGUUAUAGUUGUAAACAUAUUGGGCAUUGGAAGAGAGAUUGUCCAAACAGAAAGCAAGCCUCAUCUAGUUUUGCAAAUGUAGUCCAAAUAGAUGACUUUGGUAGUGAAGCAAAUAUACAGUGUAUUUCAUCCAACCAAUGCACAUAUGUGUGGAUUCUUGACUCUGGUUGUUGUUACUACAUGACACUGCAUCGAGAAUGGUUCACUACAUCCCGGUCAGGUAGUUUUUUUUUUUUAUCAAGUGAUGAUAAAGCAUGUAUUAUCACCAGAAUGGGACAAAUUAAAAUUUCCAUGGACAAUGGUGGCGUUCAACAUUGUACGAACUCAAAUGUAUCUUAGAAUUAAGGAGGAAAUUGAUUUCCCUAGGUACUCCACAGACAAAUGGUUUUUCUUACAAGUAUGAUGAAGAUAGCCACAUUAUGAAAGUUAGCAAGGGUGAAUUGAAUGUGAUGAGAGCAAAGAGGACUGCAAGUAACAUCUACAAACUAUUGGGGAAGAGGUUUGUAGGUGAUGUUGCAUUAGUUGAGUCUAAUAAUGAUGCAACCAAACUCUGGCAUAUGCGUCUGGUUCAUCUCCAUGAGUGUGGGAUGAUGGAACUUCAUAAGAGGAAUCUAUUGAAGGGUGUUUGUAGUUGUAAGAUGGAAUUGUGCAAGUAUUGUAUACUUGAGAAAUAUUGUAGUUUUUGGUUCAAGACUAUAAACAAUGAAUUUUAGACUAUGUGCAUUAAAAUGUGUGGGGUCCUACCAAAGAGGUUUCCAUGGAUGGUUCCAGGUAUUUUGUGAGUUUCACAAAUGCUUUUUCUCGCAAGGUUUGGGUGUAUUUCUUGAAAUAUAAAGAUGAAGUCUUUACCAAAUUCAAGUUGUGGAAGACAGAGGUAGAAAAUAAAAUAGGAAGAAAAAUCAAGUAUUUAUGAUCAGAUAAUCAAACAUAUUACGCUGACUUGAAAUUCAAGAGGUUAUGUGAAGAACAUUAUAUUCAAAGAUAUUUAUCAGUUUGCAAGUCACCACAACAAAACUGUAUUUAAAGAUAUGGGUUUGAAUGGUCGGGGGGAGGGGGGGGGGGGGGGGGGGGGGUGGGGGGGGGGGGGGGCUUUGUUCCCAAAAAGACCGUUACAAAAAAUUCUUUUAUAAAAUUAGAGUUUUAAAAAAUGCUUGGCAUAGAGAAAGUUUUCGUAUAAAAGAUGUGAUUGGAUUGAUGAUAUAAUACAUACUUAUUACCAACAAAAAAUAAAGAAGCAAAAGAAUAGUAGAAGAGAAUACUAAAAUGUACUCGAUGUUUUGAUUGAACUAAGUUCAUUUUACACGAGAUUUGUAAACCAAAUUUUCUCAAAUGAAUAAGGAUUAUAUAAUCACAGUUUUCACUUUAUUCAAAAGUAAGAAUGUUUAGGAACUUGAUCUAACACAUGCCUAAUUUUUAUACACAAAAUCUCUAUGCACGCGGUAAAAUCUAUCAGCAUGCGAUUUCUAAGAGAAACAAUUAACCUAAACAUACAAUACUAAACGAAAUAUAAAAGUGCGAGAGAGGUAAAGAUAGUACGCCAUAUUUAGAGUGUUUCAGCGUUUCGUCAUCGUUUGAGCUUAAUCCACUCUCCAAUGCUUCCCAUUGAAAGUUUGUUGUUGCUCCACUAUGACUUUGACAAUUUUCACACAGAGUAUUUUAAUACAAUAAUGAUUCAAAUCAUGCUGAAAAUACACGAUCUUUAGUCUAAAUCUCUCUUUGACUAUAAACAACGUCUAAAAUCGGUUCCUACAAUUUUUACUUGAUCUCGACUUCUUCCUUCCAAACUCAAGAAUUCUCCUCCAAACGUCCGUUUUGCAUCGACCUUUACUCAGUCCUACCAGUUCCUUGACUUGUCUGAAGGUGAUAGAAACUCCAACUCCGUCUGUAGUAGCUUCCACACAGCUUUAUCGAAGCAAUCUUGAAGAAAAUAAACUCGUUCUUUUUCACAGUUGGAUUGCCGAUCUCAGACAGUCAGAAUUGAGUUUUUACCUUGACUUGUUUUUCCUAGGUAAAAUUGAAACGUAAAAUCGUAGAGUUUAUCUCAUUAAAAUAAUAUUAAAUUCACACACACACACACACACAUACACACACGCGUGCGCGUGCAUGCAUGGACACGUAUACGCGCGCGUACACGCACACAUGCACAUAUGCUCACACAUGCAUGUAACAUGAGCACACACGCACACACACACACACACACACAUACACACACACACACACACACACACACACACACACACACACUUGCACACACUCGACACACACACACAUACAUACAAACACACACCCACACACAUAAGCACAUACACACACACACACAUGCAUGCUUGCACGCACGCACGCGGGCGCGCGCACACACACACACACACACACACACACAAACGCACGGUAAAUGCACACACACACACAAACGCACACGUAAAUGCACACGUGCACACACACGCACGUGCACACACACAAUGAGAUUUAUCAUGUCAGAACCAAGCAUAUUGAAUGAUGUGAGUAUGAGUGUUCAUGGAUGUGGGUCAACCCAUGAACCUGUUGACCCAAACCUAACCAACCCAUAAAUUAUCCGAACUUAUUCAUUUACGAGUAUACCCAAUCCAAUCCUUAACAACCCGUAUAAUUUUGGUUCGGGUAUCGGGUUUGAGUUUUGCAACCCGUUGACCCAACCCAUUGAUGUGACUUUAAUAAUUUCUUAUUAUUUAUUUAUUAUAUUAAAUAAAAAUAUAAAAUUAAUAUCAAACUAAUAACCAUAAUUUUUCCAUUUUUUUUAUUCUCCACCAAUAAUACUACUAGACGAAUGAGUUUACGUAAUUCUAAGAUUAAAUGUUGUUUCUUAUUUUCUUUUGUAUCAUUUGCAACUUAUGUAUUUUAUGGAAAUAAUGUGUCUUUUUGAACUUUAUAAUAUUAUCAAGUGUUAUGUCGUGUUGAUGAAUUUUAUUAGAUCUUAUAUGACAUGUUUUAUCUAAUUUGAGUGUUAUAAAUGAGUAUGAUUGUAUUGAGUCGCGUUACAUUUUUUUAAACCGACAAAAAGAGUCAUAAAAAUUAUAUUUUUUCUUUGAAACACAACCUGCGAACCCAACUCAACCCAACCCAUAAAUGAACGGGUCGAUUCAGGUCAGUUUUGACAAUGAAAUUGCGAGUUUAGCGAUGGACCCAAUUCAUUGAAAUUUGAAUGAGUUGGAUAAUGGUAUAUGUCAAAUCUGGUCUAACCCAACCCGUGUACACCCCUAGAUGUGACAUUUCAAAAGACCAAAAAGUAACUUACAUAUAGACAAGUAUUACUUGAAAAAGUUCAUACUUCAGAUUAUGUAACUGAUAUGUUGAACAAAUCCGUCAUUAGUGACAAAUUCAAGCAUUGUUUAAGCUUGUUACACGUUUCUCAGUGUUAAGUAGGAGGUGUAUCUCCAUAGUUUUCAAGAUGUGAUCGCCAUGCUAUAAGUCCGUAUAGGGGUUUGACAUUUACUAAGAUGAAGAUUUUGAGAAAGUCUCGUAUUAUGUAAAACCUUCAAACGAGUCAUAGAUCCAAUAGUUUGUUGUGGGUAUCUAUGGAAUAUAUAUAUAUAUAUAUAUAUAUAUAUAUAUAUAAUAUAUAUAAUAUAUACUAUAUAUAUAUAUAUUAUUAUAUAUAUAUAAUUUAUAUAUAUAUUAUAUAUAUAUAUAAUAUAUAUAUAUAUAUAUAUUAUUAUAUAUAUAAGUUUAGAAGUACAAAAGUAUUAUUGUAAACUGAAAAUAAUAUUAUAUAUAUGAUUUGUAUCAAUGUAACCCUACUUCAUAAGACACAAAUUAAAAGAAUUAUAAUUGUUCUAUAGUCACAAAAGUGUACACCAUUGAUCAUACCGUAUUAACAAAGAUUAGUCGUAUUUAUUGUCUUUUAUUUCCGUUUUCAUAUUGGUUGUUAUUCUUUGUUGGGGUCUUUUACCCUUUAUAUUUAAUAUAUUAUCUUGCCUUUAAAAAAUAGUAUACAAACUAAUUUGGGAAAGUAUCUAAAUCAUUAGCAACCACUAUCUAAAAAAAUUGUUUUCACAUAUUAAGAAAUUUAGGGAAGUUUAAUGAAUUUUCUCGACUUUUUUGUUGUUGUUGUAAGAUAUAAGUUAAAUUUAUUAAAUUAUCAUUUUUUAUAUUUAGAGAUUUAACUAUCCGUAUUAGAUGUUUUGAAUAAAAUGAAAUGUAUAUUAGAAAUAAUAUCAUUAAAUAGUGUAGGCCUUAAAACCUUUUUAAUAGUUGGGAAAGAUCAGAUAGCUAAACUUAAAUGCCUAUUAAUCAAAUCACAUAAAGGAGGAAAAACACCAAAUACUAUUACUAAAACAUAAAAUUGUAAAAGAAACAUUUUAGUGUUAACAAUAUUAUCAACCCUCGGGGUUAGUCAUCACAAAUUUCUUGUAGUGCUUCGUCAAAACUAUCUUGGGUUUCUAUAUAGUUUCUGUAUUAAAUUCUCAGAUGUGAAAUACAUAUUUUGAAGGUAACAAUUGUACCAUAAACAGCUGCAAAUGACAGAUGAAAUUAAUUUAACUGAAUAUAACUUUGGAUCAAACUUUUUGUUAUAAAAAGCUGUAGCUCCAAUAUUAUGAAGCACAAACAUUUGAAAUACGACGCUGCUGACACGUUAACACAAGUAAUAAUUUUUAAAAAAUGAAUAAAUUAAGCGUAAUCACAAAUAUAGGUGUUGGAUUCGGAUACAGACGCUGACACAUACACACAUUUUUUCCCGAGGUGUCAGUGCUAUAUAACUAUAAUCCAACUACAAAUUUUCAACUUUUUAACUACCAAAUGCUAAUCUCUAACCUCUGGCAAAGAUCAUAGCCAUCAUCUAGCACCUGCAGCCAUAACUCUUCAAGCAUUGUGUAAAUGUUGCUCCUUUGUGGAUGUGAGCUAUCUUCAGAGAAGAAUAUAUGGAUCUUAUCCUUAACUUCUAUCCAGCUUUGACCAGGUACCUUUUGUACACCCAUUUGUUUCAUUAGGUUCCUUAGUGUAGCAACAUCUUCCCAAUUACCAGCAGAAGCAUGUAUGUUAGAAAGCAUCACCAUUGCCGCAGAGUUGGAAGGAUCGAGUUUUAGUAUAUUUUCUGCAGCUCUCUCUGCAAUGUCAACUUUAUUAUUAUGAGUUUUACAAGCAGCAAGUAGAGUUUUCCAAGUAGUAAUGUCAGGGUCAAAUUCUGAUUUCUGAAUAAAAGUCUCUGCUUCAUGGAAGCAUCCGGCACGAGCAAGCAAAUCAACCAUGCAAGAGAAGUGUUCUCUUGUCGGUGGAAUUCUGUAUUCUGUUUCCAUGGAUUUAUAUAAACGCCAGCCUUCCUCCACUAAUCCAAUGUGACUGCACGCGCUGAGAGCCCCGAGAUAUGUGACCUCGUUAGGCCGAACGCCAAGAUUUGUCAUAACUUUAAAGAGAUUAAGAGCUUCAUGUCCAAGUCCAAACUGAGCAUAACCAACAAUUAAACUACUCCAUGAGACAAUAUUUGGGCUCUGCGUUGAAUCAAAAACGUCGCGAGCAUGUUUAAGUGAUCCACAUUUUGCAUACAUGUCAAUCAAUCCAUUGCACACAGAAACAUCAAGCACUAGCCCACUUUUAAUACUAUAGCAAUGCACUUGAUUUCCGACACCUAAAGAUGUCAGCUCAGCACAGGUUCCUAAUAGAGUAGUUAUGGUGAUACUGUCAGGCUUAUUUUCAGAAUAAAGCAUUUGUUUAAAUAAUCUGAAAGUCUCUCCUUCUUGCUUGUGCUGCAAGCAUGCUGAAAGAAUUGCAUUCCAAGAAACUAAGUUGGCAUUUCCGCUUACAUCUCUGAAAACAUUUAAUGCAUCAUAUAGAUUUGAGCACUUUGUGUACAUGGUUAACAAGGAGUUGCAUACCGAUACUUCCUUAUCGAGACCGAUUUUGACAAUGUAAGAAUGAAUGUGCAUACCCUGGUUAGAUGCUGUGGGGCUCCCACAAGCGCAAAGUAAGGAAAUAAAAGUAACGUUAUCUGGGAUCAGUCCUGUUUGCAUCAUCCGAUGGAAAAAAUCUAUGGCUUCAUUAGCAUCACCAUUGUCAGCAAAUGCUGCAAUAAUUGCAUUCCAUGACACUAUAUCAGGGCUUUUAAUCUGAUAGAAUGCCGUCUUUGCCGAAGGUAAAAAUCCGAAUUUUGCAUACAUGUCACAAAGGGAGCAUCCAGCGAAAACGUUCCUCCCUAAACCGAAUUUAGCGCACAUUCCAUGUACUUGCUUUCCAUACUCUAGUUCAAGAAGGUUGCUGCAAGCACUGAAAACACUGCCAAAUAUGAACUCAUUUGGCUGAUAAACUCCCUGCCUGAGCAUAUCUCGGAAAAUAUAUAAAGCUUCUAUCCUAUAACCUUGUUGAGUAUAUCCCGUAAUCAUGGAACCCCAAGAAAUUAAAUCCUUUGUAGAAAUCGUUGUAAAUACAUUUGACGCAUGUGUGAUUUGUCCGAAAUUUGUGUACAUUGAAAUAAGAGCAUUUAGGGAGAUCAAGUGAUGACCAAACCAUGAUUUAAUGACAUGAGCAUGCAGUUGCCUACCUAAACCUAUAUCCCCGGCAAUGUAGCAAGCCUUAAUUAUGCUUCCAAAGGUUAACUGGUCCGGAAAUUGACCCGAUUGCAUCAUUUGAAUAUACAUGAUGAUGGCAUCGUUCUCUUGACUGUUCUGUGAGUAUCCGGAGAUCAGUGAAGUCCAAGAGACCACAUUUCGUAGCUGCAUUGUGUCAAAAACUUUUCUAGCAUCAUUCAUAGAACCACAUUUUCCAUACAUGUUAAUAAUAUGAUUUUGGAGAAUCAUGCUUGGUUGGCAGCUGGAUUUUGAAAUGUGAUCAUGGAUUUUCUUUGCAUAUUCAAGUGAUCUAGAGUUGGCGCAAGCCAAAACUAAACUCGUAUACGUGCUUGGUUCAAAAUGGAUAUUCGGAUUCUUUAGAUGAAAAUCAAACACUUCCAGCGCUUCUUUGUAAUGCUGUUGCUUACACAACAAUAUUAUGUAACUAUUAGUCGGUAGCUCUGUACUUAGAUUAGAGACAGUUGCUGGUUGCAGAACAGGUCUUACAUGAUUAUGCAUACAUCGAAUGAAGCUUCGAAUUGUCAUAGACAUGGAUGGGGUUUUUGAAAACUAGAAAAAGUAAAACUACUGUUAUUUGACGACAACGGAAGAAACCUUAAAGGGCAAGAUGGUUUCAGGACAGUGAAGUGGUUACAAAUGAGGGUUUCUGAUUCUGACUAAGGAUAUAACAAAAAACAGUAGUAGGAUGAUCAGAAAGUGAGUGUUUCCAAUGUAAAUAUAUGAAAUAUUAACAUGAACCAUGUAACUAAAUAUGCUAUAUUAUGCUAAAGCCACUUCCUAUAUGUUACUAUCUCGCUGUGGCAAUUUGUCAAACAGCUACUAUGCAACAAAAUUGCAUUCUAAAAUGUGUACAACAAUGAGUUAGAAAAACUGUAUAAGUGCAUAAUGAUCAUCUUUAAAAUAGUUUAACAACUCAAAAUUGGAGGAAAUUUAUGGAUUCCAAAACCACAAAAAAGUUAUGAUAACUGAAAAUAACGCACCUGAAGUCUCUGGUUAGUGCUCAACCAGAGAGAAUACUAAUGUCACGUGCUUAUUGUUAUUGUUAUUACAAAACUACCCACUAUAUUUUCUUUAUUUAUAAAAUUUAUGUUUUUAAGAUAAAAAACAUAAAAUUUUAAAUAAUUCAUUUUUUCAAAUAAAUAUCCAAAAUAACUCAUUUUUUCAUCUAUUUUUCAAAAUAACCAACUUUUAAACAAAAAAAAAUUUCAAAACAAAGGAGGCGUCAAUCCAAUUGACGUCUGUGUACAUCACAUAAGAGGAGAAGACAAUCCAAUUGACGACAUUGUACAAACACGUAGGAGGGAGAAUAUACUUUCUCUCCUAUACGUUUGUACAUUAUCGCCAAUUGGAUUGACCUCUCCUCGACCUCUCCUCCUCUUCUGUGUUGUACACGGACGCCAAUUAUAUUGACGUCUCAUUUAUUUUGAGAUUUUUUUUUAUUUGAAUGUGGAUUACUUUAAAAAAUAAUUAAAAAAGUGAAUUAUUUAAUAUUUAUUUGAAAAAAAUUAAUUAUUAAAAAAGAAGACAUCCCUUGUCAUUUAGUCAUUGAGUUAAGUGAAUAAUAUAAAAAAGAAAUUUUAACUUUAAUUAUUUGUUAAAAUAAAUUAUUUUUAAUUAAUAUUUUAUUUUCUCUCUAUGACAACCACACAUUUAAAAAAUAUGAAGCAGGUGUAAAAUUGGUGGGACAAUACUUCAAAUCAAAUUAAUAUGCAACGACUUUGUUCAAGCCCACAUUAUUAUCUUACUUCUAUUUGCAAUAAUUCUAUACUCCAAAUAUUCAUUAUGCUCAUAAUUAUCCUGCCAAAAAAAUUCCACAGUCAAACUUUAAUUAAAUUUUUUUAUGCACAUUCCUCUAAAUUGAUCCAAAAAAGUACCAAUUCAGCCUAAAUUAUAAACUAAACAAAUCCUAAUCACUAAUCAGCAAUAAUCACUAAUAAUAGUUAAAGAGACAGCUGCUACAAAAAAAAAAAAUAGAUUGGUACCAUCUCAACAGCUAUUUGGUAUAAGAUAGCAACUCAUCCUCUCACUCUCACAUAAAAAAUUAUUUUUCAUAUUCUUUAUAUAUAUUACUUUUGCUUCAAGUCACAACCAAGUGAAGCAAUUCCAAACAAAAACUAGUAAUUUAGUUUGAAAGUAUCAAUCAUAACCUCAUAAAAUUUCAAACGUUUUCUUUAACACCAAUACUUUAUACUUUAUGUUCCAUUUUAAAUAACCUUCUCUUCACUUCAUUCUCUUCCAACCUGAAAAUUUUCUGGUCAAUUUUUUCAUAACAUGGGUUCACUAGAAAGGUCAAAGAAAAAAACCCAUUUAUGGAAAAAAGCCAUGCUUCAUUUUUCUCUAUGUUUUGUUAUGGGUUUUUUCACCGGUUUAGCUCCAUCAGGUAAAUCUCUAAUAUUUUCUAGCAAAAUUGAAGUUGCAUUUGCAGUUUCAAACGUAACAGAGUUUGUAACAGCAGCACCUCAACCUUCUCAAACUUCAACGAAAAAUAGUAACAAAAGUUGGAUAGCUUCAGCACCGAAAAUCCAUAGCCAAAAAACAAAGUUGCAUGCAAAACCACUACCUCAGUUAAAGCCGAAAAGACUUGUUAUCAUAGUAACUCCAACUAGCACAAAACUACCUUAUCAAAAUGUUUUUCUGAGAAGGUUAGCGAAUACUAUAAAGCUGGUUGAUCAACCGGUGCUUUGGAUUGUCGUCGAGGCGAAAACCGAUUCGCCGGAGUUGUCGGAGAUUUUAAGGAAAACUGGUAUCAUGUACAGACAUGUUGUUUUCAGUGAAGAGUUUGAGGAUUUAGAAGGUGAAUUGAAUCAUCAGAGAAAUUUAGCACUUAGUCACAUUGAACAUCAUAGAUUGAGUGGGAUUGUUCAUUUUGCUGGACUUUCAAAUGUUUAUGAUCUUCAAUUCUUUCAACAGCUUAGAGAUAUUGAGUAUGUUUUCUAACCCUUCUAUUUGCUUAACUAAUUAUUAAUUAUAUUAUUAUUAUUUUGUUGUCUUAUAGUGAUUUGUUCUAAUUUAAAUGUAGCUAGUGGGGGGAAGUUUUAAAAAUAAGCAAAUUUUUUUCAAUUAGAUGGAGAAAAGUUAGUGAGAAAAUCUUUAGGUAUACCAAAAGAUGAUGAUGAUAACUUUAGUGAAUCUUCAACUUAGAUAAAAAAUCAUAUACAAAGAAGACUAUUUAAUUAAAUAUGUAUAAAAUUAUUUUUUAAAAUUAAUAUUAAUAGUAUUUUUUGUAUUAGUAUUAAUAUUAUUACAUAAGAUUUUGUUAUUAGAAUUUAUUUAUAAAUUUGUUGAUAUUUUCAGUAACUUAUGUUUAUUAAUUAACAUUAAUAUAACAUUUUAAAACUUCAUAUUAAAUAUUAAAAUAUAAUUUAAUAUCACUUACUUAUGAGUUUGUUAAUAAAUUUUAAAUAUGACUUUAGAAAAUAUAAAAUUUAUUGAACUUUAAAUUAAAUUAUAAUAAAUUACUUGUCAAAUUUUAAAAGCUUUUAUCUGAUAAGACUUAAUUCAGUAAAAAUUUACAUGUUAAUAAAAUCAAAACUAUCAUUGAAGUAAAUUUUUUUAAUGAUCUACAAAUUAUGAUAUUUUACAAUUACUAGUUGAUUUUUAAAUUUUUUAAAAAACUUAUAUGCUUAAUUUUCUUUAAUAUUUUUACAAAAUAAUGUGUUUCAAUAUUUUAAUUGUGAUUAAUGUGACAAUUGAGCAGGGUCUUUGGGACAUGGCCAACAGCAUUAUUACUUGCAAAUAGAAAAAGAGUCAUACUUGAAGGACCUGUAUGUGACUCAUCUCAAGUUAUUGGAUGGCAUUUAAGAAAUAUGAACAAUGAAACAAUAACUCCUCCCAUUCAUAUUUCAAGUUUUGCAUUCAAUAGCUCCAUUCUUUGGGACCCUGAAAGAUGGGGUAGAACUUCAUCUGUUAAACACACUUCUCAGGUAAUUAAUCACUUCAUAAUCAUGUUUAAUCUCAUUCUAAAAUAGGUAAUUAAUUAAGUUAGUUUAUAUCACUCCUUCACUUUUUACAAUUUUACUUGCGUCUACUUAACAUUUACCCAACUACUUUAAAAAGAAAACUCAAACGCAAGAAAAAUUAUGCAUUAAGUAAUGUAUAAUGACAACAUGAUUAAUUAGUUGAACUAAUUGAAUAGAACAAUACUACUAAUUAUGUAGUGUUUUCUACUCCAUGUAGUAAUGUUUUCUACCAAACAAUUUUGUUGCUAUUUUGUUUUUUUUGUCAUAAUAAUGAUGCUACUUUUUGUGUGGUUAUCUUAGAAUUCAAUCAAGUUUGUGAAGCAAGUAGUUCUAGAAGAUGAAACAAAGUUGAAGGGAAUUCCACCAUAUUGCUCCAAAAUAUUGUUAUGGCGUUUCAACUUCUAUGCUCGUGCCAUGUCCAAGCAUUAAUUUGUAGGAUAUUAGAGAGAAUAAGGAAUUUGAAGCAAUUCACAAAUUGCUUUUCUACUACAAAAUAUAUGAAAUUUAUUCAUUUUUUUUACCUUUUGUAAUUGUAUUUCGUAUAUAGUUUUUUUCUUCGUUCAUAAUUUUUGUUAGUUUAUGUAAGAGAGGCAAAACAUUUAAAGCAUAUUUUAUAUUUUUAUUUUUUUGAUAUAAAGGCACUAGAGUUUCUAGCAUAUUACUUAAUGCACCAUAAACAUUAUUUACUCUUGUAAAAAAUUAAAAUUAUCCUUAGAAUUUAGAGGUGCAUCCCGGAUGCAUACUAUUUACAUAAAUUAUUUUGUUUUUGAGUCACACAUUAAUUAUAAUUAAAUUUUAUCUAGAAAUGCAUAUAUGUAUUUUAUAUAGAUGUAUUUCUGAAUCCUAAUGAAUCAAGAACAAUUGCAUAAAUGAAACAGAUACACAGUCAGAGAUAAAUUAACAUCAAUAAUUGUUAUGACAUACAUAAAAAUCGAAACAUUAUAUUGAUAAUUGUUAUGACAUGCAUAAAAAAAUGAACUAUACAUUUCAUCAUCAAGUAUGACGUUGCAAUAUCUUCAAAAUAUCUUCGGUGGAUCUCGUAAUUUUCACAUCCAACUCGAUUGAACCUUUCGUUUUGUAAGGGUGAAAUGUACUCCACAUAACCCUUAAAUCAUCAUCUGUCUUCAGCUCAAACUUACUGAACUGAAUGUUUCCUUCGUUAUCAAUCGAGGGUGAACGACACUUGAGUUUGAUAACUUUUUGAUUGUCUAAGUAUUCUAGAAGAUUCUCAAAAUAUGCAUUUCAGAUCUGCAAGAGAGGUGUACUCAGUGACCUUAAAUUCAAGUGAGACAUUCACGACGUUGAAGUAGACAAAUGCGACAUGCCAAUAUAUGUUAAUUCUGGUGUAAUGUGACUUUGUUAAAAAUUUGAGAUGAGAGAUCCAUUUUAUACAAGUUUUAGGUCAAUAUGGAACUUAGAAAUUCAAUCAUGUCCCAAGGGAAAUUCCGUAGAUGUACUUCUUAAAACACCCUACUUUGUUGUGUGAAAUUUAUGAAAAUAUGGUGCAUCAGAAAAUACAUUUUUGAAUAAAUUCAUGUUCGUAUUUUUUUAAAAUAUUUGGGAUGAAUCCAGAAAUGCAUUUUCGGAUGCACCAGAGACUGUUUGCUUAACCAAUUUCAGAAACAGAACCUGUUUUCCAAUAGAAAAUGGAGAAAUAUUUUGAAAAUUGAAACAAAUAUUAAAAUCUAUGAAAACAUAUAUAUUUAACAUCAUUAAUAUUAAUAUAAAAUUACAUACAAUACAUGUCUAACCAAAUAAACACACUGUUGAAUAAAAACUAAAAUGAAUCAAAACAUGUGUCACCGUCUAAAUCUAUAUGUAUGAGAAUUACACAUUUGACUUUUGUUUAUUUGUUUCUAUUUCAAUCUCGCUCAACUUGGUGAAUUCUUGCAUCCUAUCCAUAAAAGGAUUCAACAAAGUCUCAGUUUUCCAUGUUGAAUGAGUUGUCCACUCCAGGGUGUUAGGGGUACAGGGCAUCCUGAUUUCAAAACUAAAACAAAGUGUCACGUUUUUGAAAGUCAUUCAAUACACAUAAUACGAUCAAUUGGAUUUUGAGGUGGGACAAUGUAUAGUGGAUUUUUUUUUCGAAAACUAUAUCUUGUCAGAUCAAUACACACCUUAUUAUAUGCAUUUGUUAUAAGAUGACUCAUUUUAGUGAAGUACAUCCAUUUUUCUUCUGGCGUAGCUCCCCUAAUGCAAGGAAUAAGAGAUUCAUGAUAUGCACCAAAAUUUUCUUUUUUUCCGUAUAACACGUGUGUGAUUCUUUAUAGUCGUGUGUAUGAUUCUUUAUGCACCAAAAUGUAUGAUCAUCAUCUCCUUUACCGAGCAAAGCAGAAAUAUAUCGAAAACCGCCAUUAUCGUUGCCCUCAAUAUUCAUGAUCCGUUCUGAAGGGAUUUAAAGGAGAUUUUUCAAAAAUUUUGAUCCCCUUAGUGGAACAAUCCCGAUGAAUGGAUCUUAAUUAAAUCACUAAUCACGAAUCAAACACAAAUAAAGGUUUUGAAUUCUCUCUUGAAAUGUGCUUUAACUUUGAUCAUGAACGUGAAAAAUAACACCGUCUCUAUGAAGUCUACGCGAGUACAAAGUCGAACGUGAUGCUAGCAUUUUCUUUUUCUGAGAAUGACUUUGCAAAGGAAAUAAUUUUUCUAUUUAUAGAGAGCUACUAAAACCCUAAUAUGUUCUUAUUUUGGUCUUUGUAAAAAUAAGCUCAAUCUUAUUUAAUUAAAUAAUUUUAAUUAAAUAAAAUAUAUUUUAUAUUUAAUUAAAUUUUUUAAUUAUAUAAAAUAAAAUAUUAAUUAAAUUAAUCAUAUUUAAUUCAAUUAAUUAUCAAUUCUCAUUUAUUUAAUUAAAUUAUAUUUAAUCAAAUAAAUUAUAUAUGUAUUAAUAUAUUAAAUAAUCUAAAUACUCUUAACACAUGAUUAAAUUAAAUUAAAUCUUAUUUAAUUUAAUCAUUCAUUCAAUUAUCAGUACUCUAUGGGUGAUACUUAUUUGAGGACGAACAUGCAUUUUACAGUCAUACUCGUUCAAGGGUCCAUAAAUAUUAUUCCAGUAUAUAUAGGAGAUACAAAUCUCAUAUAAGUCAUCCAUGUCUCUUAACAUGAUUUAUAAAAUAUUCAUCCAUCAUCUUUAUAUCUUUAUAGGAAUUCUUUUAUGGAUAACUUUUGAAUGUAGUGUGUACUCAUUUAUGUAAUACCUAUAGCACUCGGUUGUUUUUCUUUGGUUUAUCAAAACAACCGAUGCUUGUUUUAGUGUUUUGACCAAUAUUUGAGAAUUGAAAUAAGUUCUUUUAAGUAGUCAUAAUUGCUCUCCAAACCAACGCCAGCUAGAGUUUAGUAACAGUUUAACUUGUAUAAACUUGCAUAUUAAACAAUUUAAAUUGAAUCGUUCACAAUUAUUAACCAAUGUCAUAAAGUGGUAUAAGUCCGACCCCUGUUAAUUCAUGGAUAAUCUGCAAACUUUAACAAAACAAAUAAUUUUAAUAUUUACUUAAAACUACCUUAAAGUAUAUUUGGAAAAUAUCUUUUAUCAUAGACCAAAUUAUAAGAGAUAAAUGUAUAUUUACUUUUAAAAUAAUUAUUAUAGGAGUCACUUAUAACUUAGGGUCUAAAUGAUUUAACUCACACAAGCUACAAUUUUAACGGAUUCAAAAGUUGGUCCAAUUGCUUAGUUUAGAAUUCUUUAAAAAAUCUAUAAAACUGAACUAUAAAUUUGAACCAUAUUGUUGUUAAAUAAAUUAAUCAUUCAUUUUUAAAUAACAAAAUUAAAAGAACAACACUGCAAAUAUAUAAAAGGUGAGAUACUAGGUUCGGGAGUCAUUUAAGUGAGAGAAAAAUAUUAGACAUCUCUCACCUCCAUUGUAUUCAAUGAAAUCCUCCUCUAAAUCUAGGGUUAGUGUGUUUUUAAGAGAAUUUUGCUUUAAUAUUUAUUAAUUAUUUAAUUAUUUAUUUAUUUAACAAAAAGAUAUUUGAUUAGAGAAAAGAAAAAUCAAUUACAAAAGAAGACUAAAAAAUGUUUUUGAUUAUUAUACUUGCUAGAAUCUUACAACUCUAACUCUAUGCCUACGUACCAUUACUUUUAAUGAAAGAUCAGAGUCUCGUAGUUCUGGUAGAAAAAUGUUUGUAGUUUUUAUCCCUUAAAAAUUCUUAAGCAUCGGGGACGAAAAAGUAAUUGAUUUUGAAAAAUGCAUCAAUGCACUAUGGCAGAUGACUUAUAGUUUGAGGUGAGUUUAAAUUAAUUUUAUUCCAAUUAUUGAUUAAAAAAAUAUAGUACUUAAUUUAUUUAUGAAAAUAAAUAUUAUAUAUUUAUAAGACAUAUCUCUUAUCCCGAUUGUAUCCCCGAUUUAUCCCUUAUUUUUAUCUCUUUGAAAUCCUAAAAAUCUAUCCCUUAUUUUAUCCCAUGUUCUUAUCCCCUUUGAUUGCAAAAAUAUAAUAUAUUAAAUAACUUAAAUAAGAUGUAAUAUGAUGUAUCCCUUAUUUUUAUCUCUUUGAAAUCCUAAAAGUCUAUCCCUUAUUUUAUCCCAUGUUCUUAUCCCCUUUGAUUGCAAAAAUAUAAUAUAAUUAAAUAACUUAAAUAAGAUGUAUCCCUCAUCCCGAUUUUAUCCCUUAAAACCCUAUAAAUUAUCCCUAAAAUUUCUUGAUUUAAUUAUCCCUAGUUUCUAUAAAUCCCUAAUUAAUAUGACUAUUCUAAAUAAUUGAUGAAGAAUCCAACUUAAAAAUAAAUAUUAAAUUAAUGAAAUCCCCGAUUAUUAGUUUAAUUAAAUCCAAUUAAUUUUAAUAAACCAACCUUAAUAAUUAAAUUCCUAAAACUAUAUAUUCAUUAAAAUAAAUAUAUUUUAAAAAACAGGGGGGGUGUAUUAUGGUACUAAAUAAACAAUUGGGCUUGAAGCUGGGGUGUGGGAAGCAAUGGAAAGAAAGGCCCAAUACUCUCUGAAGUCUAACGCAUGGGGGUCUAUAGAAGGAGAGAGUCAAUCGUUGACUCUCUUUGGUUCCUUUGAUCAAGAUCAUGGGGAUGUUAUUACACUUAAUCAUAGCCUUUGGUUUGAUUGACUGGUCAAAGUAUAUAGAGUGUAUGAUUGAAAUGCAGAGUCAAAAGGGGACUCGGGGUAUACACGCAUACACAACGGGUGAGUUUUUUCCUGCAUUGCCCUCCUAUUGAAUUUUUUUAUCCAAUAUGCCCCAGUCUGAAAAUAAUUUCCCAAUCUACCCCCUUUUUCAAUUAGGGCUCGCCACUUCAAACGACGAGGGGAUGAAGGCCUAAUUUACGCAGUUAGGGCUCGUCACUUCAAGUGACGAGGACAUGAAGAAGGAUUUUUUUUUAAUAUUUUAAAUAUUGUAUUAAAUAAUAAUAAUAAUUAAUAUAAUUAAUUUUUAAUUAUUAAUUCUAUAUUUAAUUAAUAUAAUUGAUUUAAUUAAAAAUAAUAAUAAUUUUUUUAUAAAAAAAUAUUUAAAAUAAAUUGUAAAUAAUUAUAGUUUUUCAUGAUAAUAAAAAAAUUGUGAUANUGUAGAAAUUGAAGAGAGUAAAUAUUUGAAGAGGGUAAGAAUGUGUGAAAUAGAAAUUGUAGGUAGAUGAUGAGUAAGAAGUGUAGAAGUAUUGAUUAUUUAUAGUGGUAAAAUUAUAAUAAAAAAAAUUGGUAAAAGUUUGAAUAGUAGAGGAUUAGACAUUGCAUUGCAUGUCAUGCAUGCAAAAAAAAUUGUAAGGAUUCCCUGUAACAUGAGAUUCCCACGCUGAAGGGAAAACACAAUGCCAAUAGCCUGCACUAUGGCUCGUCACUUUGAUGGACGAGCUGUACCUACUUCUUUGAGGCCUCGUCAAAUGGAAUGGCGAGGUGAUUCAUCCUCUUUGUUGCCUCGUCAAAUGAAGUGACAAGUUCUGUAUGUCUAGGGUUUUGUCUCGUCAAUCCAAGUGAUGAGCUAUCACAUGCCAAUUUCCUCACGCGUUUCCCUACUUCUCCCUCCUCUAUUUAACUUAAAAUCAGCAUGUGAUUUGGAUAUUGUAUUAUAUUCACACCAAAUCAAACUCAUAUUUCCUAUAAAUACUACUAACUUCCUCAUUUACAUUCACCAAAUCAAAUCCUCAUUUAUAUUCACACCAAAUCAAAUCCUCAUUUAUAUUCACACUAAAUCAAAUAUUACACAUCCAUGGCUCAAAGAAAUUUAGUUGUUUCUAUCCAUUCCGAAGGGUCACUUUUCACAUAUUCAAGUGAGGGAUUCUCAUUUUGCAAUACGAAUUUAACUAUGUUCAAAAUCCACAUCAACUCCGACUUUCAUAAUUUAAAAGACCGUAUUGAAAAGAAGUUGCAACGUUAUGUUGAAGACAUCAUUUAUCGUCAACCAUUAUUUAAUGGAGAUGAUAAUACCGUCUUUCACAUAAUGACACCGAUUAAGACCGACGAAGAAAUUUGUUGUUCAAAUCCAAAUUGGAGUUUGACUCGAUCCGUCUGAUGCAUCUCAACGGUAUAGAAACAUAUGAUAUAUGUUGUUGCACUCCAGACUCGGCUGUCAUUAUAAUCAGGCACUGGAUAUUAUAUGUACGGCCUCCAAAUAAACUGUUAAAAGAAAUAUAACUAUUAGAAUGUAUAUUAAAUUUAAAUAAGUUAAAUAUUUUAAUUAAUCAUUCUUACAUCUUUUUCUUCCAUGUGUUCUAUUGCAACACGGUACCCUUGUACAUGAUGUCGAGGAUUAUUUCGAUAAUUCAUACCUCGUUUGCACCAUCUUGCAUAUUAAAAAAAAUAUGUUAAAUUGACGUAUAAUUUUUUUUUGAUAAAUAUAAAUUGCAUUUAAAUGAAAAUCGUUACCUUAAACCUCGUUACUAACCGGGGCUAUCAAGGGUAUGCGUGUGAAUGCCCAUACAGUUAGUAAUACCACACAUCCUCCUAUGCUCUUUACUCCUCUAUGGGCCGCCUUGCACAUAUGUCUAUAUAGUGUAGCCAAACAAGCAGAACCCCAACUGUAUGAAUUACAUUUUUCAAGGUCUCCUACUAAAGGUAACCAAGAAGAAUGCAACAAAUUGUGACUUUUAUCUGGCAUUAAAAAAGUAGCAAUUAAAAGUAAAAUAUAAAUUUUUGCAUGUAAAAUAUUUUCUGCCUCGGACGGGUUAGGGUUAUUUUUUAGUUGCGUUAAUACUGCGUCUAGCCAAACAAUUUUGACAGAAGCCCCAUUUUUAUCCGAGGGCGGUUGGUUCGAUGCCCAAAUUUUCCAUGUAAACGGCACUGGUUACGUUUGUUGGGCCAUUGACAGCUUUUCCAUGGAUUCGGAGACCGAAUAACAUACUCACAUCCUCUAAUGUGAUGGUACAUUCACCUGUUGGUAAAUGAAAUGUAUGUGUCUCCGGUCUCCAUCUCUCUAACAAUGCCACAAUGAGUUUAGAGUCUACUUUUAGACUUGCAAUUUUUGCCACAUUCGCAAAACCUGCUAGCUCCAAGUACGGUAUUAUAACCGCACUUGGUUGAAUAUAUGAAUGCAAAUGAACCCGAAAUUUUCCAUCUUGCUGAAAUUAAAAUAAAUAACAGUAAUGAAUAUUUGGUCUAAUAAAGAACGGAAGUAAAAAACGAUAAUAAAAAACGAUAAUAAAAAACGGUAAAUUUGAAUGAGACUUACGUAUUCGACAAUGUUUGCCGCCGUCCCACGGUGUGAUUCACCCAUCCAUAAGAAAGACAUCUUGAAAGGAAGUGUAGAAAUUGAAGAGAGUAAAUAUUUGAAGAGGGUAAGAAUGUGUGAAAUAGAAAUUGUAGGUAGAUGAUGAGUAAGAAGUGUAGAAGUAUUGAUUAUUUAUAGUGGUAAAAUUAUAAUAAAAAAAAUUGGUAAAAGUUUGAAUAGUAGAGGAUUAGACAUUGCAUUGCAUGUCAUGCAUGCAAAAAAAAUUGUUAAGGAUUCCCUGUAACAUGAGAUUCCCACGCUGAAGGGAAAACACAAUGCCAAUAGCCUGCACCUAUGGCUCGUCACUUUGAUUGACGAGCUGUACCUACUUCUUUGAGGCCUCGUCAAAUGGAAUGGAGAGGUGAUUCGUCCUCUUUGUUGCCUCGUCAAAUGAAGUGACGAGUGCUUUAUGUCUAGGGUUUUGUCUCGUCAAUCCAAGUGACGAGCUAUCACAUGCCAAUUUCCUCACGCGUUUCCCUCUGUCUCUCUCCUCUAUUUAACUUAAAAUUAGCAUGUGAUUUGGAUAUUGUAUUAUAUUCACACCAAAUCAAAUUCAUAUUUCCUAUAAAUACUACUACUUCCUCAUUUACAUUCACCAAAUCAAAUCCUCAUUUAUAUUCACACCAAACCAAAUCCUCAUUUAUAUUCACACCAAAUCAAAUCCUCAUUUAUAUUCAUACUAAAUCAAAUAUUACACAUCCAUAUGGAAUGAGUCAUUUAUCGUCAACCAUUAUUUAAUGGAGAUGAUAAUACCGUCUUUCACAUAAUGACACUGAUUAAGACCGACGAAGAUGUCAGGUCGAUGUUUCAAUGUCAUGUAACAUUAUCUCAAUUACCCAGCAUUGAGAUAUAUGUUCGUCUAGUCGAUAAUCUUGAAGAACAACCGAGUGACAAUGUUGAGGAACAACCGUCUCACAACGAAAAUCACUGUUAUCCAACGCAAUCUGUACAGUCACACGACUAUGGAAUGAGUCAAGCCAUUGACGAAGAGCCGACUCAAAAUAAUGAACCUUUCAUACCAAAUGAAGAGGUGGGCGAGAAUAGUGAGGAUGAUCUUGAGGAGGUUCGAUUUGAAGAUCUAUUCGGUGUUAGCGAUGACGAUGGCAAUGAGGAAAUAUUCGACACACCGGCCGUUGCACUAAGAGCGCAACCAAUUAGUUUGUACAACCCACCUGCGCACAUGCAAAACAUAAGUUUGGAUGAUGCCGAACCAAUCUCCGUUUUCGGCAGUUUCAUACCAACUCACAACUUUGACGAAAUAGAGGAGGGCAUAGAGUAUGAAGAUAAGGAAGAGUGUCUUCUGGCGUUGCAACAAUGGCAUAUAAAACGUAGUCUAGAUUUUUCUGUGGUUAAAUCUGACAGUGUAUGUUUUGUCAUCAAAUGUAGAAAUUCAACAUGCAAUUUCAAAUGCAGGGUCUCUUUGCGCAAGGGCAACUCAAGGUGGAGAGUUGGUAAGUCUAGUGGGCCUCAUACGUGCACAACCACUUCCAUGUCACAAGACCAUACAAAACUCAGUUCAGAAAUGAUUAGCAAGAGCAUAAUGGAGCUUGUAAAUCGGGACGCUUCUCUUAAGGUGAAGGUUAUCAUUGCUCAUGUUGUUGAGAAAUACCGGUAUAUCAUAUCAUACAAAAAGGCAUGGAUUGCAAAGUGUAAGGCGGUUGAGUCGCUCUAUAGAAAUUGGGAGACAUCUUACAACGAUCUUCUACAGUGGAUACUGGUAAUGAAAACAUAUCUACCAGGUACCAUUAUAGAAUUACAAACCCUACCUGUGAUUUCAAAUGAUGGUUCAUACUUGGGUGACCAAAGGAUAUUUCAUCGUCUGUUUUGGGCGUUUAGACCAUGUAUACGUGGCUUCGCGUAUUGUAAACCAAUUGUGCAGGUUGAUGGAACUUGGUUGUAUGGCAAGUACAGAGGGGCUCUGCUGAUGGAUGUGGCACAGGAUGGGAAGGGGAACAUAUUUCCGAUAGCGUUCGCAUUGGUUGAAAGUGAGACAAAGGAAGCCUGGAGUUUCUUUCUUAAGAAUUUGAGAAUGCAUGUUACCCCCCAAGCAAAUCUAUGCCUAAUAUCAAACAGGCAUGAAUCAAUAAAGAAUGCAUACAACAACCCGGAAAAUGGAUGGCAGUUUCCUCCUUCAUCACACGUCUAUUGCAUUAGACAUAUCGCGCAAAACUUCAUGCGGGAGAUUAAAGAUAAGGAUCUGCGGAAAAUAGUUGUUAACAUGGGUUAUGCGUUAACAGAGGCAACGUUUAACUACUAUCGGGGGGAAAUCCGAAGAACAAACAACGACGCUUUAUCAUAGAUAGACAACAUCCCUCGCGAGAAGUGGGCAAGGGCAUUUGACGGAGGGCAACGCUGGGGUCACAUGACAACUAACCUAGCAGAAGCAACGAACGCGGUGUUGAAAGAAACCCGGAACCUUUCAAUCACUGCAUUGGUCAAAUCUACGUACUAUCGUUUAGGAUCACUAUUUGGUAGAAGAGGCCAUCAGUGGACAAAAAUGUUAGCCUCUGGGCAGGUUUUCACUGAUAACUGCAACAAGGGGAUGGCUGAGGAAGUCAUCAAAGCUAACACGCAUAACGUCAUGCAGUUCGACCGAGAGAGAUUUUAUUUCAUGGUCCAAGAGAAGAUUAAUCAUAACGACGGUCGACCAACCGGAACGUUCAGCGUUGAUCUGAGGAAACAACACUGUGACUGUGGGAAAUUUCAGGCAUUUCACUUACCUUGCUCCCAUGUAAUCGCAGCAUGUUCGAGCAUACGCCAGGACUAUUCCAUUCACAUUCCAGACGUCUUCAAAAUUCGUAACGUCUUCAAGGUCUAUCAGGAGAGUUUCCUAGGACUUCCCCAUGAGGAGAAUUGGCCACAAUAUGAAGGAUAUACUCUUUGCCACGACGACUCUAUGAGAAGGAGGAAGAAAGGGCGCCCAAACAGCACCAGGAUUAGAACCGAGAUGGACGACGUUGAGAAGGAGAAGAGAAGGUGUGGAAUUUGUCGCGAAAUAGGACACAUGCGUAGGAAAUGUCCUAAUGUUGCAGGAUCAUCCCAACGACCUUCCAGAUGAUUAUCUUGUUGUUUUAAAUAUUCGUUCAGAUGACUAUGUUUAUUUAUUUAUUUAUUAACUACUAUGCACAUAAUAUAUAUAAACCAUUUUGUAUUUCUAAUGUCUUUUGGGAACAAACAUUUAUGAAAUACAUUUGAUAAUCAAAGGCUUCUGGUUACAAAGUACGACCACAUCAACUAAACAACAACAACAACCAACACAAGUGGUAAUUAAAAAACUAAUCAACAACAACAACCAACACAAGUGGACCUUCAACUCCUCUAUUAACUUCACCACUAUGUGCCGAAAACAUACAUUGGACAUCUUCAUCAUUUUCUAUACGAUCCAGGUAAUACAUGUACGUACCAUCGGGGCUUGCAUCAGUCAACGUUAUGUAUGGACAACGAUACUCUACUUUCCUCACCUUCAUACGACGCCCGCCCAACUGUCGGAAGCCAGUGUGGAUGGCAGAAAUCAGUGUUCUGAAAUUCCAUUGCGGAUCAAGGCAAACACUCAUUUUUUCACCGUGUCCAUAAAAUACAAGACCACAAACAGACAUUAUGAACUAAAGAAAGGAUUUGGUGGUGUGAGUUUCAUUUCUACCAGUUNNNNNNNNNNNNNNNNNNNNNNNNNNNNNNNNNNNNNNNNNNNNNNNNNNNNNNNNNNNNNNNNNNNNNNNNNNNNNNNNNNNNNNNNNNNNNNNNNNNNNNNNNNNNNNNNNNNNNNNNNNNNNNNNNNNNNNNNNNNNNNNNNNNNNNNNNNNNNNNNNNNNNNNNNNNNNNNNNNNNNNNNNNNNNNNNNNNNNNNNNNNNNNNNNNNNNNNNNNNNNCAACAACAACCAACACAAGUGGACCUUCAACUCCUCUAUUAACUUCACCACUAUGUGCCGAAAACAUACACUGGACAUCUUCAUCAUUUUCUAUACGAUCCAGGUAAUACAUGUACAUACCAUCGGGGCUUGCAUCAGUCAACGUUAUGUAUGGACAACGAUACUCUACUUUCCUCACCUUCAUACGACGCUCGCCCAACUGUCGGAAGCCAGUGUGGAUGGCAGAAAUCAGUGUUCGGAAAUUCCAUUGCGGAUCAAGGCAAACACUCAUUUUCUCACCGUGUCCAUAAAAUACAAGACCACAAACAGACAUUCUGAACUAAAGAAAGGAUUUGGUGGUCUGAGUUACAUUUCUACAAGUUCUGCUAUUUAUACAAAAAUUAAUAGUUGAAUACUCAGCCAAUCAUUGGCCGAGACAGUACAAACACAAAAACUUUUUGGCGGGAAAGAUAUCAUUCCCAAAAAAUGAUUGACAUUUUGGAGGGAAACAUAACAAUUUUAUUAUUAAUAUAUAAGACAUAAAUUAUUUCUAUUAUUAAUAUUCUAAAAAUUAAUCAUUUUUAUUAUUAGUAUUUCAAAAAUAAUAAUAUCACAAUUUUUUUAUUAUCAUGAAAAACUAUAAUUAUUUACAAUUUAUUUUAAAUAUUUUUUUAUAAAAAAAUUAUUAUUAUUUUUAAUUAAAUCAAUUAUAUUAAUUAUUUUUUUAUUAUCAUGAAAAACUAUAAUUAUUUACAAUUUAUUUUAAAUAUUUUUUUAUAAAAAAAUUAUUAUUAUUUUUAAUUAAAUCAAUUAUAUUAAUUAAAUAUAAAAUUAAUAAUUAAAAAUUAAUUAUAUUAAUUAUUAUUAUUAUUUAAUACAGUAUUUAAAAUAUUAAAAAAUAAAAAAAUCCUUCUUCAUGUCCUCGUCACUUGAAGUGACGAGCCCUAACUGCGUAAAUUGGGCCUUCAUCCCCUCGUCAUUUGAAGUGGCGAGCCCUAACUGAAAAAGGGAUAGAUUGAGAAAUUAUUUUCAGACUGGGGCAUAUUGGGUAAAAAAUUUCAAAUAGAGGGCAUAUGCAGCAAAAACUCACAACGGGUAUGUUGAGUCAACUGGUUGAUUGGUUGAGAGAGGUCACGCAAGCAUGAUGUGGCACUUGGCUGGAUGAGGGUAUAAAAGUUAUCUCCCUUUAGAAAUCUUCAUUUCCACUUCUCUCAUUCUCCCUCUCUUCAUUGCUCUCCCUCUCUCUUCUCUCCCCUCUUUCUACUUCGGCAACCCUCUUCCCCACCGUAUAUCCCCAGAAACCACCCACAAACCACCACAUUCAACUGAGAUCUUUAUGUUCAUCAUGAACAUGAAAAACACCCAACUCAGAAACCGACCCCUCACCAUCCUUUCCCCCAGAACCACCGAAUCUCCGGAUCUCGGGUUGAAGCUCAACCAGGAUCUUCAAUCAAUGUUCAUCUGGGUGAUGAACAUCAACCCAGAACCAAGAACCCUAACCCUAACAUUCAACCAAAACCCAGAAUCACAAGAACCAUAACCCUAACUGAAGAACCCUAACCUUCAAAAUCAAAACCCAAAUUCUCCUAACCUUUAUCAUGUUCAUCAUGAACAUGAUGAAUCUUCAUCCCUGAUCUCUGAACCAUAACCCAAAUUUCCAGAAAUCCCCACAAUUCACCCAAUCAUAACAAAAACAACCUUAAAUCAAAGGUCGUAACCUCUUUAUCAAUAAUUAACCGCCAAAAUAAAUAACAAAACAUCCUAAAACCAUGAAUCAAUCCAUCUGAACCCUAAUCCCCAAAUCAACCCCAAUCAUCAUACAUCAACAACAACAUCAAAGAGUCAACAAAAGUAAGCAAAUAAGUGAAGUUCUACCAACCUACAGAAUCGAGGAAUAUUCCAGUUCGAAAGGUAAUUACCUAGAGUCCUUUCUUAAUUACUUCUUUUAUUAUGCUCCUCUUCUAAUCCCUUUCUUAUUGUUAUGCGAGGUUUGAUGGUUGGCUAAGCUCAAAUAACUUAGGGUUUCAGUGUGAAGCCCUAAACAUCAAAUUUUGUUGAGCAUAUGGUGAGACUUUUAGGAUCAAUGUUGCGACUGCAAGUUCCAAGUCCUUAGGGUUUUCUUCGUCCCUGAUUGAAUUUUAGGUUUAUGUUUAUAUAAAUUAUUUUUUAGGGUUUUAGAUUUCAAUUCUGAUUGUAUGGUUUUAUAAGAUUAGGACCUGAUUGAUUAUGUAUUUGAUUUAGAUUGAUUUUGUGUUAUAAAUAGAAAUUAGGUUUGAAUUGUAACAGACAUUGACAAUUUAUGUAGUCCAAUUUUGAUUGAUAUUCACGAUUUGAAUGUAUAUGAAAUAAAAACAGAAAUUUUGGAUUGGUUUUAAAAUUGCAGUUUUCGAUUUGUUCUGAAAAUGGUUUUGCGCAAGUCAGGGUUUAGAUUAGGGAAGAAGCUGAACCUGAGUCAUGAGCUUGCCCCGGUUCAGUGAUGGAUCUUUGGUCUAGCCUGACCCAGUUCGAUUGUGGUUUUGAAUCCUCUUGGUCUGACCAUCACUUGGGCCAAAUAACGAUAAUCAAGAUAUAACAAAAAAAUAAUUGGCACGUCCAUAAUAAUAAUAUAACAAA